RNAcentral lists this long non-coding RNA (66104 nucleotides) under Linum usitatissimum (flax). RNAcentral describes it as "long non-coding RNA (LUSI_LNC006410)". Lineage: Eukaryota; Viridiplantae; Streptophyta; Magnoliopsida; Malpighiales; Linaceae. The record is from RNAcentral.
AACUGGGAACUGAGUUUGAGCUGAAAGAUCUGGGAGAAAUGAAAUAUUUCCUCGGAAUGGAGGUGGCCAGAUCGAGCAAAGGACUUUCUAUAUCCCAGAGAAAGUAUAUCCUAGAUUUGCUAGAGGAAACCGGUAUGACAGGGUGCAAACCGGCAGAUACCCCAAUGCAGUCAAAUCUGAAGUUCAGUGUAGAAGAAAACGGGGAAAAAGCAGACAAGGGAAGAUACCAACAGCUGGUAGGAAAGCUGAUAUACCUGGCACACACGCGACCCGACAUAGCUUUUGCUGUGAGUGUGGUUAGCCAGUUCAUGAAUGAACCAAAGAGUGAGCACAUGGAUGCUGUAAACUAUAUUCUUAGAUACCUAAAGAAAACCCCAGGAUUGGGGCUGAUGUUCAAGAAGAAUGAGAGCAGGUCAGUGGAAAUAUACACUGAUGCAAGCUGGGCCAGUGAAAUUACAACGAGGAGAUCGACCACAGGUUACUGCUCUUAUGUAUGGGGAAAUUUAGUAACGUGGAGAAGUAAGAAGCAAUCAGUGGUUGCACGAAGCAGUGCAGAAGCAGAAUACCGAGCACUUGCUCUCGGGAUUCAGGAAGUUAUGUGGAUACAGCGAGUUCUAAAGGAACUAGAGUUACCAGGACACGGGAGAGCUACACUAUACAGUGAUAGCCAGUCAGCCUUAAGCAUUGUUAAGAACCCUGUACAUCACGACAGGACUAAACAUGUCGAGAUAGACAGGCAUUUUAUCACUGAGAAGGUGGAAAGGGGAGUUGUGGAUGUGAGAUAUGUCCAGUCCAAACAGCAGACCGCUGACAUACUCACAAAGGCACUUCCACGAGAACAGUCAGAUCAUUUCAAGUCCAAGCUGGGUUUGUACAACAUCUACACCAAGCUUGAGGGGGAGUGAGGAAAUCCCGUUCCUUAUUUGUAUACAGUCAGAUCUUAUUAGUUUAUUUGCUAGUUAGAUAGUUACCAUAUUAGUUCUAGUCCUAUCCUAGUUUAGCUAGCAGAUCCUAUUAAAUAGUUAGAGUAGAUAUUUUCUUACCUAGUCAGUAGGAGGAAUGCUGUAUAUAAUAAACCUACGAGACAUGAAUAAAAGUAAUUCAUUCUCUCAAUCUUCAGAGGUGUUCAUGCAUGGCUGUUCUAUUGUGUCAUUGUUCACCCAAGUCCUCAAUCUCUUAAAUCCUCAUUAUCGGAAUACAAUUCAGGUGUGGCAAGCUCUUCUUGCUGUAAGAGCCCUUGUUCUUCCCCCAACGGAAGAUGUUGACACUUGGCUUAAAUUUGCUUCACUUUGUCGAAAAAAUAAUCGGAUAAGUCAGGCCAAGUCCACUUUGGUUAAGCUUCUACAGGUUGGUGAUGCAUGUGUUUACUCACAUGAUAGUGAUUUUUCUAAUCAUUUUCUAGUUUCUGUUCGGUUCUGACCACUUUUCUUUUCUCCAUUGUUUGACAUGUUAUUUAGUAUGAUCCGGAAACAUCUCUUGAAAGUGUGCAAUGCCAUGGACCUCCCCAAGUAAUUUUGGGAUAUUUAAAAUAUCAGUGGUCGCUCGGAGAGGAACACAAACGAAAAGAAGCAUUUGCUCGGUUACAGGUGAGAUGAAUAGCCUUUACAUUGUGCAUAUUUUUUAGCAACAUAAGUAACCUACUACGAUGAGUCUUUUUUUAUGUGGUUUUCUGGACUGUUGGCAGAGUUUGGCUAUUGAGCUUUCUAGUGCUCAGUCAGUUGCUUCUGUUGGUUCUCUGAGUACUACUAGUGGAUAUGCACCCCUUCUUGCUCGUGUGUAUCUUAGGCUUGGGACUUGGCAAUGGGCGCUUUCUCCUGGACUGGAUGAUGAAUCCAUACAAGGUGGUUUGUCCCCAUCCUUGAUGGUGUGUCUAAAAGGUGGUGUUGUCAAUUUUCAUCUUUUCAUCGGUUUAACCCUUCCUUUCUUUAUGUAGAAAUACUCGAUGCGUUUAGGAAUGCCACUCAGUAUGCGACAAAAUGGGGCAAAUCAUGGCACACAUGGGCGUUGUUCAAUACAGCAGUGAUGUCCCAUUAUACAAUGAGAGGAUAUCCUGAUGUAGCCUCGCAGUUUGUUGUUGCAGCAGUGAAUGGAUAUUUUUAUUCAAUAGCUUGUGCAGCUAAUGCUAAAGGAGUUGAUGACAGCCUGCAGGUAAAUGAUCGAAUCAUAGCUGAUCUUUCAUCAUUGUAAUGCUUUGUGAACAAUAUAUGUGGUUCCGUAAUGUUGCUUGUGAUGGUUCACCGUCUCUUUUCGGUCUUUUCACAUUAAUGUCUUCCUGUGGUUAUACUAAUCCUUUUGCAAUCUCUGGUUCAGGAUAUACUACGCCUUCUUACCCUCUGGUUUAAUCAUGGAGCCACAGCAGAAGUUCAAAUGGCCCUGCAGAAAGGAUUUGCUUAUGUUAAUAUAAACACAUGGCUGGUUGUUUUACCUCAGAUAAUUGCCAGGAUUCACUCUAACAAUCAUGCUGUUCGAGAACUCAUACAAUCACUUUUAGUGCGAAUUGGGCAGAGCCAUCCACAGGCAAGUUAUUAGAACCUAUUUGUUCACAGUUCUAAGCAGAAAAAUUGUUUAUUUUAUAGGUGAAUAUUUCUUAAUUACAAGGUGAAAUGUUCGUCAUGGCUUACUAAUCUCGCAUAUUCCAUAUUUUGUAGUAGUUUCAUUUGAUCAUGAUUGGUUCCUCCUUUUAUAUUUCCCUUCUUAUCGAUAGUUUUAUUUUGUGUUUACCUCGUCCAGCUAUCCGACCUUUCAUCUUAGCGGUUAAAUUUAUGUUUUUCAAAAUAUUAUUUGUGCCUCUUCCUUCCUACUCCGUGGACGGAAAGAAAAGAUGGACAAUCCUGACUGAUUUGAGUUCUGGUGACGGUUCCAGUGUUGAUGUACACGUGCAUGUUUGUCAAAAUGGUCAAUUAUUGUUCAUUGUAUUACAGUGUUAGUCAUAACUAUGUUUUGCCUCUAAGCAUGUCUGAAGUAUCAGAGUUGUUUUGCAGGCUCUUAUGUAUCCUCUUCUUGUUGCUUGUAAAUCUAUAAGUAAUUUACGAAGAGCGGCAGCUCAGGAAGUGGUGGACAAAGUUCGACAACAUAGUGGUGUGCUUGUUGAUCAGGUUGAUACAAUUAUCUAAAUGUUAUAAAAAUCCUUCUUUCUGAAUCCGCACAGCACAUGCUAAUUUUGAGUUGAUUGUUUAGGCACAACUUGUAUCAAAGGAACUGAUCAGGGUCGCGAUUCUUUGGCAAGAAAUGUGGCAUGAAGGCUUGGAAGAAGCCAGCCGAUUGUUCUUCGGGGAACAUAACAUAGAGGGAAUGCUGAAGGUGUUGGAGCCUUUGCAUGAAAUGCUCGAGGAAGGAGUUAUGAGGGAGAAGACAACCAUAAAGGAGAGAGCAUUCAUUGAGGUAUCCCGUAACGUUUCUUAUAUCUCCAGUUUGUAUCUCUUUCAUCUUAGUUCUGUGUGAAAACUACUGACCUUUGUAAUGAGGUUGUUUGACGGUACACUUUUCUCCUUUCCCUGUAGGCAUACCGCCAUGAAUUGCUAGAGGCUUGGGAGUGUUGUAUGAAGUACAAGAGGACUCUAAAAGAGGCUGAACUGACUCAGGUACACAGCAGAGAAUAGUAUUGUCUCGUCUUUGGAGAGGACUAUUAUCACUGUUUUCUCAAGUCAUGAAACGGCGGUAGUAUUGCAGUGUUAUUGACUACCUGACUUAAACAAUCACAACUUAGAAGGUUGCAUGAUCACCUUUUGGUUGUCCUUGAGGGCACUGAUUAUCUAUGCACACAAUUGUUCAACAGGGCACAUUAUUGUUUUAACUGGUCCACAUAAUUGAUUGAAGAAUGAAAUAAGUUUUAAAUUUUUUACCAGGCAUGGGAUUUGUACUACCAUGUAUUCAAAAGGGUGGACAGACAGAUUCAGGCCAUGACAACCCUGGACCUGAAGGCAAGCAAAUUUGCUAUUCUUAAGUUCUAUUUAUAUAGCAAGGUAAACUAAAUUGGAAUUAACUGCUAUGUGUUAUAUGCAAACAGUCUGCCUCUCCAGAUUUGGUGGAAUGCCGUGACCUGGAACUUGCUGUUCCUGGGACUUACCAAGCUGGUAAACUCAUUUAACUUUUUUGUGUUUAUGAAAUGGAUUGAAAGCCAUGAACUCCCUAAAUUUGAAUUUUUGCCUCCCAGAUUUACCUGUAGUUACAAUCGCAUCAUUUGCACCUCAGCUAGCUAUAAUACAAUCUAAACAGCGCCCCCGGAAAUUGACGAUUCUUGGCAGUGAUGGCAAAGAUUAUGCCUGCCUGCUGAAGGGACAUGAGGAUCUGCGCCAAGACGAACGUGUGAUGCAGGUAAGCUGUUCCUGAUUGCUGUUAACCAUUGGUAUUGAAUGGUUUCACUAAAUGCCAUUUGAAGUUUCUUUCCUCAAACGCUACCCUUACAUCAUCGAUUGAGGUAUAGAUAACUUAUCCGAAGUUGCAGUCUGGCAAAUAAAAUCACGCCUAUCUUGACUGACAUAGCUGCCCCCCAUCCCCUUUCAAAGUUAAAGUUAGGACCAGUUCUACUUUAUCUUCUUAAAUUGCAACCAUUUUGAAUAUUUUAGCUCCUUUGUUUGGAGUUUCAACGCUAUAUAAACAGAUAUAUUGUGUUAUGUUUAUGUCAGCUCUUCGGUCUAGUCAACACACUGCUGGAGAAUUCCAGAAGAACGUCAGAGAAGGAUUUGUCAAUUCAACGAUAUUCUGUCAUCCCAUUAUCUCCAAACAGUGGAUUAAUUGGUUGGGUUCCACAUUGUGACACCCUGCACCAGCUCAUCAGAGAAUACAGAGAUGCCAGAAAGGUUGCACAAUUUCUACUAGCUUCAGUCCUUUUUUUCUGUUGCAUCAUUGCGUAUUCUCAUAAACAUGUGAUAUGAUUAUUCCAGAUCACCCUGAAUCAAGAGCACAAGUACAUGCUCAGUUUUGCUCCGGAUUAUGACCAUUUACCGUUAAUAGCGAAAGUUGAAGUUUUCGAGUAUGCUCUUUCAAACACGGAAGGAAAUGAUCUGGCUAGGGUAAGAACUUUGAAACCUAUUCCUGACGUAUAUCAUGAUUUCCGUUCAGAAUAUCUAAGAUCAUGCCUUCUUCUAGGUUCUGUGGCUGAAAAGCCGCACUUCUGAGGUAUGGUUGGAAAGGAGGACAAACUACACUAGAAGUUUGGCAGUUAUGAGCAUGGUAAGUGGGCGGAGCCACACAGCAGACAUUUUUAUUAGGUAGUUAGCAUUGGAGAUAAAAAGAAGUUUCUUUAUAGCUCCCUUCUUUACGUAUGAUGUCUUUAGGGUACGCUUGGAUUACACUUCUUUGUAUGUGUUCUUUAACAGCUUCUAUAAAUAUAUUUAUUGUUUGAUCUAACGACACAUCGGUUGAUAACUUCCCUUCGCAUUCCUAGAAGGUGAACUUACAUUUGUCGAUAAUGGUUAGCCUGAUUGCCUCCCUUGAGAUGAAGUGGUUGAAUACAUCAGAAUCUUCUGCUCCGGAUAGAUAUUUAACUUGUUACGAAGAGUUUACUCUAAUUUGUUUGGCAUAUGUUGCUGAUUUACCUAGUUUCAUCUUUUUACAAAUAAUAAUUUCCUUUGAUUUGAUUUGAUUUGAUUUGCUUUUUUUUUUGCAGGUCGGUUACCUUCUAGGUUUGGGUGAUAGACAUCCCAGUAACCUUAUGUUGCAUCGAUACAGGUAACUAAAAACAAAAGGCGGAUAAUAAGAUGAAUCUUUGGACUCAAACUCUUCCUCACGUGUUAAUAUUUGCAGUGGGAAAAUCCUACACAUUGACUUUGGUGAUUGCUUUGAAGCUUCGAUGAAUCGGGAGAAAUUCCCUGAGAAGGUCCAUUUUAUGAGUAUUAUUAGAAUGCUCUACUUUGGUUUUGUGGUGGUUCUGUGCUAUACAUGAAAUAUAUGUUUUGUGUUGUGCAGGUCCCUUUCCGCUUGACUAGAAUGUUAGUGAAAGCCAUGGAGGUGAGUGGCAUAGAGGGGACUUUCCGCAACACAUGUGAGAACGUGAUGCAGGUUCUUCGAACGAAUAAGGAUAGUGUUAUGGCCAUGAUGGAGGUAUGUACCAUUUUCUUCCUUAAACCACAUUCCAUGUUCCAAAAGUUUGAAAUUAGAAAUUGUUGUUUAUGAAUAUCAUAAAAUAUCUGCUUCUAAAAACCAGAUUCCCAAGGAAUUGGUUAACGCGUUGUUUGGAUGUGAUUUGAAAUAGAAGAGAUUUGAAAUAUAGCUAGAGAUUUGGCAGAGCUUGCUAUUUUCGAAAUAAAUUGUUUGGAUAGGUGAUCUGUGAUCGGAUUUGAGUGCAAUUACUGUAGAUAGAGAAAAAUAAAUAGAGAAAAUACAAAUGCCCGAAAGCCCGAGUUUAUUUAAGUCAUAUCAGCUACAAAAAGAACCCACGAAAUUCUCCGAGCCCACAAGGUGAUUUCAAAUCACCAAAUCUCUUCCGACUUAAGUGUCCAAACGGGUGAUUUGGGAUCAAAUCUCCACCGAGAUUCAAAUUAACCCCAAAUCACUUGUCCAAAUGACGCGUAAGAGUUUGGUGAAAUACAUUAGAAGUUCACUUGUGGAGAAGACCAAAACAGGUGAUAUUUGCCGACUCAAAAGUAAUCCAAUACAUAAUUCUUCGUUCAGACAUUUGCCGAUAUCGGUAUUCAGAACGAAUAUUUAUCCAUGUCGAUCGACUAGGAAUAUAAAUCCAAUAUUGGUUUGUUGGCUCGAAAUGUUUUCAGGCCUUUGUCCACGAUCCUCUCAUCAAUUGGCGUCUUUUCAACUUCAAUGAAGUACCUCAAAUGUCUACGGCAGCUAAUUCUCAUGGUCCUGCGGUGGUAAAUUCCGAGGAAUCUGCUCCAAGUAAAGAGCAGCUUCCUCAGCCUCAACGUGGUGCUCGUGAACGGGAGCUCAUUCAGGUAUAUUUUUCAGUUCAAGUAUUUAGUAGAUGUAUCUGCCUACUUCAUCAACGAUGACACCCAUUUCCUUCCAACUCGUAUUUGCAGGCUGUUAGUCAGCUGGGGGAUGCAAAGAAGGUUCUGAAUGACCGCGCCGUCAUAGUAAUGGCUCGGAUGAGCAACAAGCUCACUGGACGUGACUUUUCGUCUUCGUCAGCAUCUGCGAGCCCCAUGCAACCAGCAGUAGACCACAGCUCCUUGCUAGCUGGAGAUGCGCGGGAAGUUGAUCAUGGGCUGUCAGUUAAAUUGCAGGUUCAGAAGCUGAUUCUUCAAGCCAUGUCGCAUGAGAAUCUAUGCCAAAACUAUGUCGGGUAUGGUCAUAUACUAUGUUACACUCAGGUUAAAACUUCUAAUGAUCUCCAAGGGGACGUAUCUAACAUUUGUGCUGGUUCCUUGUUUUUUGUUUGUAGGUGGUGUCCGUUCUGGUAAGAAACCAGUGAUGAAGACGAGACAGUAAGAUGUAUAUAAGGUGUAGUUGUGCAUAGGAAGCAGACAUGAUUAGAUUUCUCUCAUUUUAUGAAUACAAGAAAGUGGCAAGACUUUGUGUCGGUUUGUAUCGGGUUAUUCAUAGAUUUCGUGUGCGUGUACAUAGUGGAAGACUUAAUUGUAUCGAAACUAUUGUUGAUUAUGACCGUAGAGCCUAGUUAGAAAGAAUAAUGGGAACUAUUAUUCGAAGCCUUAACUUAUAUCAUAAAACUUGCCAUGCAUCAUGGUGAGUCAAUAAUGCAAAGUCAAAGCAGCCAAAAGAGGAAAUAGUCAUCAAAUCAGAACUUUGAGUUCACUCGGCUGUUGAACUGAACUUCAUAAUCAGUUACGGGCGCAGAUACUUUGUCUGAAUAAGAUGCAUCACUCUGAUCGAACUGCAAACGGAACUGCCUACUGGCUUUGAUUCGAGCAGUACUGUGUGUCACUUAUUUUUUUCAGUUGAAGAUGGACAAGGCGGACGAGGCGCAAAUGUCAUUAUAAGAGAUAAAGUGUUCAUAUCUGGCGUACCUUCGGGUUGCGAACCACAUAAUGCAACUAGGUCUGGAGCAACACAAUGCAACUAAUUGCACUAUUCCACGGGUAUUGCAUAAUUUCAUUUAUGGUUUUGGUGCGAUUUAAUGAAUCAUGUAGGAUAAUGAGUUUGUGUUCAUUAUUCACUUCGACCCACAUCAAACCAAACCUGAACGAACUUCUGUUAACUUUCAAGGUUCUGUAUGAGCUAAACAUAAAAUCUCUUUUGUUAACUUUCAACUUUUGCAUACAUGAAUUGGUUCAAAGAAGAUACUGGUAAGUGUGUUUGGGCUUCACUUUUGUGAAGAGAACACGACACUUUUAACACGCAGAAUUUUCUAUCUAAUCAAUAAAAAGAAAAGGGGUGGCGUCAAAGGAAACAACCAACCCCAAGUUGCUCCAGUGAUAGAUUUUCUUUCUUUCUGUACAUGUUUAAUAUCUUUCUCACUCGAAAAGGUGUAUUAGUAAUAUCUAUCUAUGUAGUCAGUCUCUUCUUCUGCUUGCUCUGCGCAAUGCUCAGUAGGAAAUCGGUGAAUAUCUGCUCAUAAUCUGGCAUUUUCCCAUAACCUACAACGUGUAUACAAUAAUGAUAAGAAAUAAAUGGUCGACUUAUCGAAGCCGCGGAAUGAAUCCAUCUGGUCGCUCAAGCUUCCAGCAAACAAUGUGCGAUUGCAAAGUGGCAGCUACUUACCAGGGAAGUAGUUGAUGUCGAUGACAUAAAAGACAUCUUUCGUCUCGUGUUCUCGAAUCAUAUCUAUGUUGAACAACCUCAGUCCCUACAAAAUGUCAGUAUAGACAUGUUCAUCCAUAUAAUGUACUAAUGAAUCGAGUAGCCGAGGAUAUAGACAGUGGGGAAGAGGGUACCAGCUUACGACGAAGCUCUUCUGCAAGCCUCUCUAACAAAGGUCGCGGUGGGAGUUCUGAAAGACGAACCGACACAAUACUUCUCAUAUAACAACACACAUACAAAUUAUCUAAAAGGAAGCUAAUUUAAUAAUUUACCUGCAACUGAAGGAUCUAAAUCAGCAUUAUCCGCGGAGGCUGAAGCACACGAAACUCGGGGGAAAGGCAUCAGGCCAGCUACUUUUGCUAGCUCACGACUACUGACAUUAGGCAGGGAUAAACGUCGGACAACUUUGAUGGCUUCACCAAUUAUGUAAAUCUUAAACAGAACACCACCUAGCAUGAAUUAGGUUAUAAGAUCAUCGUCAGAGAAAGCAACAGCUGAAUGAAUUUGAAGUCCCAACCUGGGAGUUACCAUGAUUUACAAACUCCUGCAGGGCCAAAGGAGGUUCAAGUUCUGAGAGAGAGGAGUGAUCAUAGGCAAGACACAACUCAUGUGAUUUAGCACUUCCAUCCACCAUUAGUGGUUUUGCAACUGAAAAAUUCACGACGAAAUCAGCUUAUCGGAAUUUUUAUACAAAGAUGUAUGAUUCUAGAAACUAUACCUAAAGGUAGCUUUAUUCCAGCCUUGGAAACUUCGAGAGCAAUGGAUGAUGGAUCUCUGUGAAUAACCAAUUGCCUUGGGAUACAAACUUUACCUGCAAAUAAUGCCAAACGUGAUGACUCGUAUCUCCUGUAGAGGCUUAGAACAGGAAGAUAUCGCAGGAAAUCUAAAGACUUUGUAGACUUGCGUGGAAAUCAGUACCAUAGGAAUCGGACAAGUUCAGAUCAGCUACAUGUUGGAGCAUAGACUGUCGAUUUUGCAGAUGUCUGAUUGCGUCUGGAGGAUCAAUAACAGUCACAUCUGGAUGCUUUUGCAUGUAGUCCUUCAAUGAGAAGAAAAAUACAAGAAAGCAAGGAGUAGAAAUGAGUACUUCCAGUGUGCCAGCAGUAAGAUUUUCAAACUAGUGAGCUUGAAUUAAGACAAGUAACAGUAAACAAACCUCAAUUACUUUGUACCAAUCGUUCCCUAACACCUACAAAGAACAUAAAGCACUCACACAUUAGACGAACGGAAAAACAAACUGAAGACUAUGAAGUAAAAUGACACUAGUAAAAUGAUAAGAGGUUAAGAAACCAGAGACUGACCUUGUGUAAAACAAUGUCAAAAGGCCCUUGAUCAUCCAAUGGUUUGUUCUGAUCGAUAGCAAUGAACAAUACCCCGUUAUCUCUGUACCAUAACAUAAACAGAAAACACUUUGGAAUUGCAGGUGUAAGCAUAACCAAUUACAUCGAAAAUUAUGUGAAAAGAAGAAUGCAGAUGCAAACUUAAGACAGAUAGUAGGAAGAACAAUUGAAGUAAGGCAAAUUAUAGGCCAAAUGAACCAGAACAACCAACAUUUCAAAGUACAGACCCAAAGCAAGAUUUAUGUAGCAUCGGCAUAAAGAAUUUAUCUUCAAGAGCACCACUAUGAAGGAACAGAAAGAUAAUAGAUGUUCAUUCCUGGAAUCAAAGCCUAUAUCGUUAUCGAAACAAAAGAAAUGAACUUUUUAAUUACUUCAUUUUACUGAAGGCCAAGAAUACAACUUUAACGGAAAGGGUAAAAGUGUAUAGAUGGAUACCUUGCUAGCAAUUGAAACUUAGGCUGCAAGAAGCUAUUCUUCUUCUUGGAAGUCAAGGCGUAGCCAACCACCACCAAUGGCGGCUGCAUUGACACUGAUUCCAUCCCCUCACCUUCUUCUUUGUCUCUCUUUUCUCCUUCCCCUUGCGAGAUUUCCCCGCUUAACCUCAUACUUUGCCAACCCAAGAACACACAAGCACAGACUCCCAGAUCCUAGUGAAGACCGGAGAAGGAAAAUACCUAAAAAAUCGCUUCAAUGAGCAACACUGAGGCGAAAUAUUAUGAUUUCGCCCAAUUCGGGAUAUGCCCUUUAACCCUGAUUGUUCAUAUAGACAAUCGGGAAGCGGAAAGCGACAGAAUGCUUGAAUUAAGGAUGGGAGAAGGAGGUCAGAGUCUUCAAUGGCGAUGAUAGUGUUGAGUGUAAGCAUUUGGUUACUCCCGCUCUAGAAAGAGGACGGGAGACAAGUGCCACGUGCAGAGAAAUGCAGCUAGUGGAAAUAUGAAGACAAAAGCUCAAAAAGAUAUUGGGAUCUGUUCUUUUCAUCAUGGAAUAUUCAAUUCCCAUACAUAACACGUGGACCAUAGUGGAGAUUUGACCCCAUUGAUGUUUGUUUGCCCAUAGUGGAGCAUUGGCUUUUCUUGUGGAACUAACAUGCGUCCCAAGUUGAGUCCAAUUCCAACCAAUCCUUAUACAGAUAGCAGAGCCAAUUCUGUUUUCGUUUGCAGACAAAUUUUAAAGGGUCACUGUGUUUCUUAAUCCUUCUAAAUUGCAAUUCUCAUUACUGCAGGUGUCAGAAAUUUUGAGCGAAAGCAACCAUAAUGUGCCAUUUGGACAUAUGUAUUGCAAAUUCAUUUUACUGGUGGGGAGAAAGAUUAGCAGAGCUUCAUCCUAUUUUUGACACCAAUCUGAUGUACAGAUCCCCUCUGUUCUGUUCUGUUCAUUGAUUUCCCAUUGAAAAAGCACAGACCCUGUCAAAGUGUCGUCAGGACAUUCCAUUGACCAUCUCCCCAACAAACAAAACAUUCGUUUGAUUAUUAUUUCACCUGUAACCACUCUGUGAAAACACACGAAGCUGUAGCAAGCAAGCUAGGAAUCAAUCAAAUCAUGGUGGUGGAGUCGAUAAGUCCGACUAAGAGGUUCGAAUUCGAUUCAUAUGAUCAUGACACUGAUGAUGAUGGACACCCCAAGCGCAAAGGUACCUCCUCGUUAUCAUUAAUUCUGCAUCUUAAUUAUCAUUUUCUUCAUUGUUAAUGAUCAGUAAUAUGUAUUUUCCAAUUUCACAAACCCAAUGCCUAAUUAAGGUCAUGUGUUGUGUUUGUUUCGUGUGGAAUGAAUGAAGGGACGAUGAUGACGGCAAGUGCGCAUAUAAUAACAUCGGUAAUAGGAUCAGGGGUGCUAUCUUUGGCAUGGGCUACCGCUCAAUUGGGAUGGAUAGCUGGACCCGCUAUUCUCUUUGUGUUCGCUCUAAUUACUUGGUACACCGCUCAACUCUUAUGCGACUGUUAUCGUUGUCCAGGCCCGCAACAAGGCACUCGUACCUACACUUACUCUGGCGCUGUCAGAGCCCAUUUAGGUAACAUUUAUUAGGAUUACUUUACCUAAUUACGUUUAGGCUGUUUACGAACUUAGUGAAACCGAAUUUUAUUGUGCUCAAUGUUGGCUUAUUUAGUUUUAGACGAGCUAAAACAUAUUAAUUUGUCAUGAGCUCGAGUCUAUUUGAGCUUGACUUGUUAACUACCUUUGACGAGCUGAACUCGAUCUUUCGGUCAUUAAAAUUUGCUAAUAAGGUCUAUUUUGGACUAAUUUUGAAACUUGUACACUAAAAAAAUAUCGACGAGUCAAGCUAAAAAAAUAUCCUUAAAUUUAUAAGUUUUUACUUUUUUCAAUUAAAACAGUGAAACCUAAAUAAUGUGUCACUUGCAUUUUCAUUAACACAUUCACAAAUUAUAUAUAUAUAUUAUUCUAUAUGGUUUUCGACGCAAAGCACAUAUGUUGCAUUGUUGAAUCUACCAACGAGUUAUAUACUCGAGGUAUAAUAUUCGAGUUGGCUUUCGAGCUCGAGUUGGCUUGGGAGCUUAUCGAAUCGAACAUACCCCGCUCAAACUUGACUCGUUUAAAAUCGAGCUGAAUCUCAAAAAAAAUUUUACUAAACCAAACGUCGAACCGCUCACGAGCGGUUUGAUUUUCAACAGCCUUACGUCUCUUAAUCUGAAUUUUUCUAUCCAUUUAACUAUAGGUGGGAUUAGGUCCAAAUUUUGUGGAGUAGCUCAAUUCAUAUAUCUUUUAGGAUCUGCCAUUGGAUACACCAUAGCUACACCCAUCAGCAUGGCGUAAGCUCUCCUUCCUUCAUUACCUACUUCAUUUCCUUAUUGGCUACAUGGGAGCAGUUGUUUAUGACUUGGAAUUGAAUCUAUGUACGUACCUCGUUCAUGCAUGCAUGCACAAAAUUAAAGUGCCAUCCAAAGAUCGAACUGCUUUCACCAAAAGGGACACGAAGCAGGGUGUCACACUUCCAACAACAAGUUCGUCAUAAUAUUUGGAAUCAUGCAAAUAUUACUGAGCCAGCUUCCCGAUUUUCACAACCUUGCCUUCAUCUCCGUCAUCGCGGCCAUAAUGUCUUUUGCCUACUCCAUUAUCGGCCUUGGUCUUUGCAUCGCCACGAUCAUAAGUGAGUAUCAAUCUAUGUACCUUUCAUCUUAGGUACGGCGAUUCUACUCAAUUGUAAUGAAAAUUCAAGCCAAUUAUAGUCGGUGGAGAUUGUGGUACGUACGUUCGUACGUAUCCCCGCUUUUUUAGGCCUAUCGUAUAAUGUCACACUAUAACGAUAUGUAUGUACAUGAAUGCAGAGAAUCAUGUGCAUGAGAGCACAGGAUUAACAGGGAUUAAGAUAGGGGAAGGAGGCGUUACAAGCUCAAUGAAAGUGUUUGACGUUUUACAGGCCAUAGGGGACAUAGCAUUUGCCUACAGCUACGCCCCAAUCCUUCUUGAAAUUGAGGUAUAUAGUAUAUAAUUGAUUGGAAAGAAUCCUACAUUAUUUUGUAAAAAAAUCUAUUUUUUAAUUAUAUUCUUAAUUUAUACAUUGAAUGAACUGGUAAUGAUGUUUUGGCCGGGCCGGCCACCUAGGACACACUAAGAUCAAGUCCGCCGGAGAACGAGGUGAUGAAGAAGGCAUCAACGAUGGGCAUAGCAGUUACGACAUUGUUUUACUGCCUGUGCGGCGUACUCGGGUACGCUGCCUUCGGGAACAACGCACCGGGAAACUUGCUAACCGGGUUCGGCUUCUAUGACCCGUUCUGGCUCGUGGACAUCGCCAACCUCUUCGUGGUGAUCCACCUCGUAGGCGCGUACCAGGUAUUCAUCCAGCCGACGUUCCAAAUAGUGGAGCAAUGGUGCAACAGGAAAUGGCCCGACAGCGGCUUCUUGAGAAACGAGUACCCCGUAAUGGGCGGGAAGUUCAGGCUGAACGCCUUCAGGCUAGUAUGGAGAACCUUGUACGUUGUCAUGACGUGCGUGGUCGGGAUGCUGUUCCCGUUCUUCAACAGCGUGCUCGGUUUGCUCGGUGCGAUGGCGUUUUGGCCGCUCACGCUCUAUUUCCCGAUCGAGAUGUACAAGAAGCAGGCUGGGAUUGAGAGGUUUAGUCCGACGUGGGUGUGGGUCACCGUUUUGAGUGGGGUUUGUUUGCUUGUGUCGAUACUCGCCGCCGUUGGAUCUGUUGAUGGCAUCAUCAGUUCGCUUGAGAAAUACAAGCCUUUUAAGUUCGAGACUUAGCAGCUAGUAGUAGUACGUACCGUACCUUCACCGUACCGCACACCUUGCUUGAGAUUUAUUGCUCUUUUCUGUUUUUUUUAAACUAUCCCACCUGUGGUUAGGGCUGUAUCUUGUGAGAAACGUAACACACUCGUGUUUAUUUUGAUGGAAUAAAUCUUUUAUGUUUUUUUGAACUAUCGGUCACCAUCCUUCAUAAAAGAUAUUUCUGAUCCAUUCCAUAUAAAAUUGUUGGCUCCUUUGCAAUGACCAAUCAACCUCCAAUUUUGUAAUCAGUACCGACGACCUCAUCUUGAAACUUCCGAUGAACGGAUGGUGAGCAUCUACCGUGAUAGUGUCGAGUGUUGAAGUUGUUAAACAGUGAAGUAAUGCAAUCCAAUAUAAGAUACUGUUACAAAGAAUCAUUUACAUAUACGUAUAAAGUAAAGCAUAUACGGCCUCCCCGUUUUAAUUUACAAGUCCUUGACCCGUGCAACGAAUACAGUAGCAAAAAGAAUGAACGAACCGAUUUUUAAAAGCAAAAAUCAUUGAUUAAUAAAAUAAAUGAUUGAUCAACGAGGCCUACCAACAAAAAACAGUAAGGAGUAAACUCAAAAAAUCAAAGGACGGUGCCUUCGUAGAUUGUAGCCAUUCGGAGCUUGAAAGAACCAACGGCCGAUCUCGCUCGUCUGGAAGCAUACCUCUGCAAUUUCCUAAUAGAUCUGGACCUCCGAUAUUGACGAGCCGGUUGCAUCGGCGGCUCCUUGAUCAGCGGCAGAUUAUAAUCGCUAUCAUCUUCCAGGAAGUGAAGAGGAGAAAUGGCGCUGGAUUUUUUAUUGCCUGAGAUCUGGAGAGCCUGGCUAGCUCUGAUGGCUAGAGCUGCCAUUUGCGGAGCAGUGAGGGUGGAAUUGAGGUUGGAGACCGGCAGGAGGAAGUAGAGCUGAUUGGGGAGCAAUACGACGUCGGUGCGUAGAGCAGGGAUUGGUUCGUCGUACGAUAAGAAAUCGGAAUUGCAGAUGAAGUAAUCGGAGGCUGCAGACUCGUGGCGGAGAACUUGAGCGACGGAGACGAGCGGCGGGGAAUCGGGGAGAUCGCCGGUCAGGGAGACGAGCUUUGCUGUAGGCGGAAGAGAAUCACGGUGAGAAUCUGAGGACGACGAUGAGAAACACACUCCCAUUUUAGAUGAAUAAUUAAAGAUGGAUGCAGUCCAGCUAGUAUGUAGUUUUUCGUAUUUAAAAGAGAGAGAUAAGUGAGGUAGUGGCGGGCGGCUUUUACGCUGAUUGGUUUCCAGGAUGCUUCCUAUUACCAUCCAUAAUAAUAUUACUAUCCUUGUUUAGCUCAGCGAUGACGUCAUAAUCUUGUGUGCUUUCUUGGUGGCACCCACAAUUUUAUAACCAAAUUAGUAGGUUUCCCAAACCUUAAUGAAUAAUUAUAAAUAACUCUUUCAAACAGACGAUUAGGGUACCCCCAUCCCCACCCGUGGACUCAACAAGACCAAAAAAUAAAACGUGGCACAUUUCGUCACAUCCCCCAAAAUCUCCCAACAAUUUCAAUCCGCCGUUCAUGGUCGUCCACCUCACUUUAUCGUUUUAUCCCACGGCCCCACCGCCACCAAUUUCCACGCAUCUACUUCUGAUCUGCUUCCUGCCGCCUUCACCCCCCACUCCACAGAGUCAUUCAUAACUCAUCAUCAUAUGUCGUCUCUCGCCGCCGCCGGCAUCAGUCACUCUCCCCGCCAUGUCGUUGACUGCCGGUCUCCCCUCUCCACGACAAGUGUUCUAUCCCCCCGCGCUCCUUCUCUUCCCCUUCCUCGCGCCUUCUUCACAUCUCAACUGAAUUACUCUCCCAGAUUUUACAAUUCUGGAAAACCCCUUCCUUCUCGUCCUUUCCUGGGUCGCCCGGGCUCCAGGCGGAGCUCCGAUUUCAAUCCCAAGGUCGACGAUAGCGUCAGUUCCAGAUAUUGGAGCCGUUCAAUUGGUAGGUCGGAGUUUGUGGACGACGACGAAGUUGAUGAUUAUGAUGACGACGAUGAGGAAGAGGAGGAAGAUCGGAGUCUCGAUCUGUUCCUCAAAUUCGUUCAAAAUAUUUACAAGAAGAUAUCUAAGCGAGCGAGGAAGGCCGUGCGCUCUGUUUUGCCCGCUAUCAUCCCUUCUAAAUUGGUAAUCUUCUCAUUGCUCUGCAGCCACUUCCCUUUAGUUUUAGUUUUUUGUUUUCUGGAAUUGGUAAUUUACAUAGAGAAACUUAUCCUAUUUUUGGCUUCUUAGGUCGGGUUUUCGGUCGAUGGAGUGAUAGUGCUUGCGUUCUUAUGGGUUCUGAAAGCAUUUCUUGAGGUACGCAAAUCUCCAACUCGUCAGUCUUCCCGUGAAUUAGAGUUAAUAACUUUCUGUGAUCAUUGAGUUCUAGAACACCCUAGCUUGUGUCUCACUGUACGUAAUUUGGAGAUCAUGUUUAGCUAAUAGUUGAUUUCAACUUCAAAGGGGGGCUAUGGCUAAAAGAUGCUCUUUGGCUACUUGGCUGAAUGACUGUUCAUUGCUUCAUCAAUUUAGCAUGUGAAAACCUCUCUGAUAGCUCACGGACCUGGCUGGUUGGCAAUUUUGUUCUUUGGGUUGAAAACAUGACGACAAAUUAUAAGUGUGCAUGGUUUUUCCUUGGUAAAGAUUAAUAAUUGAUUAGUUGGAGUGUGAAUACUUAGCAGUUAGUUGCUUCCUCACAUAUUUGGUUAGUUCAAACCAGCAGUUAUCCAUUGGAAUGUAGCAGGACUUCGAAAUCUCUAUAGUUCUGCUGCCAUAUGUUGGCUGUUGGGGGAAACUAUUAUUGCUUUCAUUUGCACCAUAUAUUGUAACUUGGACGACCGUGUAGAUUUAUGCUCGAUAUUAUCCCUAGUGCAGAGGCUAGAUUAGGAGUUGAUCUCAGAGGACUGUCACAGUUGGAGUUUCAUAUGCCAACUUUUAGAAAGAUGAUGAAGGAAACUUGUUCAUAUCGAAGUGAGCUGAAUAAGGAAUGGAAUAGGAUAGGAAAUGAGGUAGUUUGGACAGUCACAGAUGCCUGUGCUAUCUUGGUUUCUAAUCAAUAAUGCAGUUAGUGCAAUAUUCUGUGGUCUCCUUUUGCGAUCAAAUUCCUUUCUGGUUGCAGGUGGUUUGUACGGUUGGAAGUGUGGUGUUCGUGAGCAUCUUACUGACCCGUGUUGUAUGGACGGGUGUUGCGUAUCUACAAGAGAGCCGUAUACUGAGGAUGAAUGGAGAAGAUGAUGAUGAUGGUGAUCGACGUGCUUGGACUGGUGUAAGGCCAGCAACUUGACCGGUUUCUGACGUUUAUCCUCCUUUCAUUUGGAAUCUUCGACGAUUCAGUCGCUCUAACCUACUCUUCAUUCGAGAUUUGACACAGCUGAUUGAUCCUGCACUUCUGCUAAAAUGAUGGGAUCAUCAACUGAAGAUACAAAUUCAAUAUACCAAGAACGUUACAGAGGUUUUUUGUGGACUUUUGAUUAGUAAAUAAUUCAGUUUACUCAAAAUUGACUUCCUUUGCCUGCUGCCACUGCUUCUGACAUGGAAGAUACAAAUUUGUGUAUGGGGCAGUGGUUGUAGUUAUUAGGAUUUCUCCCUUUUUUCUAAUUUACACUCUACACCAAAGAUGAUGAUUGGUUAUAUCUUGUAAAGAAUUCGAAAUACUGGCAUAGUUGAGAUGGAAAUAAGUAACUUGACAAAUUGUCAAUGGCACUUACUUAGCUUUUGAUCUGAUGUAAAAACAAUUUUGUGUACUUAUGUCGCAUUUUGCGUCCAAAAUGACAGUUCAACUUUAUACAAAUUCGGCAUUCAAAAACUCGAUGAUCCCUUUGUCUCACCGGUUGAUUAGAUUGGAGAUGCAUAUGGUGGGUGAGUUCAAAGUCGAGUUGAGGGCUUGAGGGCUUGAGGCAUUUGAUUUUCGGAGGCACUUGAAGUUGUUGACGUUUAUAGUUUAACUUAAGAGACUUAAGAAGCCUCAACCAUAUUUGAGUUACCCCGAUUCGCAAAGUUGCCUACGUAAAAUCUAUGUGAGAACUCCACCCGAUUGUCGUGGGAUGUACGGAUCCAUGAGUAUUUGCUUCUCAACAAGACAACAACUUCAUGAAAAUCACUUCCAUGAUCAUUCCUCGAAAGUGUCUCACCUCAUGUUUGUGGAUGAUAUGACCAUCUUGCUGAGGUCCUGGCUAGGGGUAUUAAACAUUUAUUAGAUUUGUUAUCUUGGUUGACACCACCUGACCGGUUUGGUCUUGAAGGGACGGGUUGAUUAUCCGGGCAAAAAUGAUGGUUCGAUAAUCCUCUUAUUACCAAGGCAUUUGCUCUUUUGCCUUUGCUUCCGUUUCUGAAGGUCAAUGUAUCUUUGGACGGGCGGCACUUCCAGCUCGCUCCCAGAACAAAAUGAGCAGCAUUGCAAUGUUAAGGCCUUGCUUUGCUGCUGCUGCUACUACUACUACUACCACUAGGCUAUCUGCUCUCCGUUUCAAAACAAGGGCUUUCUCGUCACCAACGUCCAACGGCUCCAACCAGUCUCGCGGCGGACUCCCCCGCUUCUUCUCCGAGCAACUCCCCUCGUCUAAGGUACUCUAUUCCCUCCCAAUCUAAUUCCAGAGUUCGUUUUUGCGAGAAAUCGUUGCCUUUACGCGUUUUAGGUUGGUUAGGAGAGUGAUUUUCUAGGUUUUAAGCGUUGGAAUGACCAAGCUCGUUUCAGUUGAUCAGCAGUCGAUAUAAGUUUCCACUCUGUAUAGAUUAUUUGAUAUACCUGCAAGUUUGAUGCAGCCUCCAGAAUUUCCAGCCUGUAUUUCUAAUAUCUAGUUGCUCUUCAGGUGCUAGACGUUAGGUUUAAACUUAAAGUUGUCUGCUGUAGAUAUGAAAUUAAGUUUACAAGGUGAUUGGAGAUGGCCUUAAUUCAGGUCCAGUUUACUGCAGGGAGGUGUUGUUCGUGUACAAGGAGAUGAGUUUUGGCACAUGACUAAAGUCCUAAGGUUGACUGCCAAUGACAGGUAUAAUUUAUGCAUGGUAAAGCCCUCUAUGUUUUGCCUACUUGUUUUCUUGGUGGUUCUAUUUCUUGCCUUUGAAUAAAGUUUGAAAUUGUUGUGUUGGAACCCUAAACCAAUAUGUUCAUCGUUCGAGUAACUCUAUCUGAUAUUUUAUCAAAACAAACUAUGUAAGGAAACACAUUCGGGUUUUGGUAUCGUGGUAAACCUAUCAGUAGGCUUUUUAUCCGGCUGAGUAGUUAUUUCACUGUAGUUGUACCGUCUCAUUUUUCUGAAUAUUUGUAACGGAAGGGUGGAGCUGUUCAAUGGCAAAGGAGGUGCAAUAGAAGGAUGCAUACAAAGAAUUGACCGUGCUGGACUUGACUUUGUUGCACUGGAAAAUCCCAAGCUAGUUCUUCCUCAAAAUACUCAGUGGCAAGUCUUUACAGCAUUUGGUGAGUUGAAACGUAAUUUACAUAUCAGGAGGCAACAAUGUCUAAGUCAAUUUUCAAAUCUUUAUGUAGGUACUCUAAAGGGCGGCAGAGCUGACUGGCUUGUAGAGAAAUGCACAGUAAUAAGUCUUAAUUCUUUCUUGUAUAUUCAUGGUUCUGUUAAUGAAGCGGCUUGAACGAGUUUAUCAUCUAAAACGAUCCGCUUCUACCUUGUUUUUAGGAGCUUGGAGCUCAUAGUGUGACCCCUCUGCUGACAGACCGUUCUCCAUCAAUCUCAGAAAAUCGAGUUGACCGGUUGCAGCGUGUUGUUCUAGCAGCAACCAAACAAUGUAAUUUCUACAUUUUUUAGUGACCCUUCAUAUGCACUCCUGAUCGCUUCUAAAUUCUAUUGUUAUUAGAUUUCGUGAUUUAAUUGGUUCCAUGUCUGUGUUCUUUCUUUCUUUUGCUUUUACAGGUCAGAGACUGCAUGGGAUGAUUCUGAAUCCUCCUUUAACCAUUGAUGAGCUGUUACCUCUUGUGAGUUAUUCUUCCUUGAAUGAAGUGGAACUGAGUCUUUUCUUUUCCUUUUUGUUUGUAUUUAUUUGAUCUGCGUGUCGAUACUUCAUGGAAACGAGCGGAUUGGAGAGUAAUGUUUGAGAGACAUGAUUCUGAUUCAUUGUUUUCGUUCGUACAUUCUUACAAAUGUAACACAUGUUGUUUUCUUUUCUUGUGGUUCAAGGUUUCCCAGUCGAAACUAUCUUUUUUGGCAACGGCAGAAGCUCCCCCUCUAGUUAGUGCAAUAGCUUCAUUGAGGAACGAACGGAGUGGAUUGAUGAUCGUUGGACCAGAAGGAGGUUAGUGCCAACUCCUAUUCCUUUAGCUACGUAAACUAGUUGUCCGACUUUUUCAUAUGCAGCAGAAUCAUUUGAGCUUUUAUUCUGCAGAGUUGACGUUAUAAACACUUAACCAAGUUAACUUCACAUUGACACUUUUGCAUUGAAAUGCAGAUUUCACAGAGGAAGAGUUGAAUAAGCUUAUAACAGCAGGUGUGGUGAGUGUUGGUCUCGGGCCACUUCGGCUGCGUGUUGAAACUGCUACAAUAGCACUUUUGUCCACACUUAUGCUAUGGUCCGACUCUCACCAACUUAACAAUUCAUAAUGUCUUGCACUCCUUAUGUUACGGUUGGCCGAUGCAGCGGACGUUGUUGCACAGAAACUCGUUACACGAUGAAUGCGAGCCUGUAAAUGUUUGGAGGCGAGGUCAAGGAGGCGGCAAAAAUGCCCAUCUGACUUAGGCAAUGUGACAUAUAGAUUAUACCUUGGCUUGAAUUUGUCAGUUCUGUUGCUAUGAUUUUGAUGUAUGUUGCAUCAUUCUUCUAUCUAUUUAAUGUUACUUCAACCUUUUUUUUCCAAAAAAAGUUGAUUGUAUUCGUUGGUAUUAUAAAAGGCUUGAAAUACUAUUACAAUUGAGUCAAUUAUGAGGAAGUGAGUCCAUUUGGACACUCUUAGUCACAUAAUAUUCAGGUGAAGUAAUAAAACAUUAUUUAACGGUUUUAAUUUUUGUUGUUAUCGUGGAUGUAUAUGUUUUUGAUUAUAAAUAUCUUAGUUGGAUUUUUAACUGUUUUUCACUAUAUGUAAUCGUAGAAAGUUAAUUUAAAAAUUUUCAACACUAAUAUAACACUAAAUAAAAUCAAUUUUUAACUUCAUUUUAUCAUUAUUUAAAGGGAUUAUCAUAUUAAAACUUAAUUUUUUAAACAUUUUAAACAUGUAUAUAUAAUAUUAGUUGAUUUGAAAAUUUUGAAAUUUUUAUGUCAAAAUGAUUCAUUUCCAUAGAUUGUUAUCUUUCGAAAUAAAACAUUUUAACAUUAAAAUUAAUUUGUUUUCAAAUUGUCUAAUAUUUGACAUGUAUAUUGAGAAUGAUUAAAAAUUGAUGUUUCAUCAUAUUAAAUUCUUCCAACAAUAGUUAAAUGAAGUUAAAAAAUAUUUUUAAUGAUUUUAAUUAUUGUUAUUAAUGAAAAUGUAUAUAUUUUCAAUUAUAAAAAUUUCAAUUUAAAAUUUUAACUGUUUUCAAACUUUAUUAACCAAUUAUCCAGCUAUUAUGUCGAAGAAUCCAUCGCAGAAGAUCAACGAUUUUGUCCGAAUCAGAAAGCCACUCUCGGAUUUGGGCCUGCAGAGUAUCCGGCCGACUCAAAACCCGGAUUGGCGUCCAUUGACCAUUUGUGACGCCAGUUUUCUUAACGUGUCCUCCUCCCUAGUUACGGUCUCCUCUCUCUCAUCAUCAUCGUUCAUUCCCACCCCCUUCUCCUCCGAUUGUCCCUAAUUCCUUCUUCUUUACCCUAACCCCUGAUUGAAUUCCAUAUUCCGUCUGCUUUAGAUUCUGCCGCUUCUCAAUUCCAGCCAGGACUUCUGAUCGGGAAAUUCACUGCUAUCGGUUUGCUGUAAGAAAUUCUAUACCCUCGGGGUUUUGGACACCGUUCGAGAUUCCUGAUCUCCAUUGGAAGCCGGUGGUUUCCUUAUCGUUGCAAAAACACAAUCCAUACGGCUUAAUCAAAACUAAUUUGUUCUCACCGAGGCCAUUUAAUUUUCGGUGAUUCUGUAAGUUUAUCAUUUGGUGAUUAAGAAACAAGGAUAUCAAUGCUCAGUACUUCUCUUCUUUCCAUUCAUCGUUCAUGGAUCAUUAAUGCUGUGAAUUUUGUUUACCUUCAUUGCAAGAUUCGUGUGCUUGGCUUUUCUUGUUGGUCAUGAGUGUUGAGUUUUUUUAUUUAUUUGAUAAAGAAUGUAAGGUGUAUGGAAAAUAUGUGCAACUCUUACCUGACAAGCAGUCUGUUACGUUUCUAAAUUAUUGGUUUUCAUAGCUGCAUUUGUUCUCCUCUCAAGGAAUUUUUCCUGAAAUCGACAUACGGUUUGCUCUAUACACUAGGAACCAACAUCAAUGGAGUGCUCAUCUUCUUAAGCAUGCUUAACCAUUUUUGUCUUUCUUCGUUCUCCUUAUCCAAUUUUGCAGUUCCUAGACCACUUCACUGCUUUCUGGAAUAUAUUAUUGCAUGGGUAUGGAUAUAUGUUGAUGACUAGUAAUUCAACUACGAUAAUUCAAACGUAUGUUUGUGAUGCAGCUGUAUUUGGCUAUUAGUUUGUGCGUGUAUGUGUGGACCAUAUGCAUUUUCUUUGGAUUUUCUCUUUUAAUCACUGGUGCCGAUCAUACUUUUGCGAUUUGCAGUUGAAUUUUUCACUGUAUCUUACAAUCUACUUGUUCUUUAGGUGUUUAUUUUUUGCUUUGAAAGAUGUCACAGUAUCCAGGGGAAGAGGUUGAUUACGUGGUAGAUGAUUAUGAGAUGCCAGAAGCAGAUGAUGAUUUGUACUUUCGUGGGGGAUUAGUGGUCUACUCUGACUCUGAUGGUGAUGAGGACGAAUACGAUAAUUUGGUGUGUGCAUUUCCCAACCAUCAUUUGAGCUUUUCUUCUUUUUGAUGUUAUCGUUCCGUUUCUUUGUACUAGUUGACUAACCAUUAUUUGUUGGUACCCUUUGCACCCUCCUUUUCGUGGGUGAUUUAUGGUUGGUCCUUGAUUGUGCAGGACAACAAGUUACCUGACAUGCUUGCUGCUGAUGCUAGACGUGGAAAGGAUAUACAAGGGAUUCCAUGGGACAGUCUGAGCAUUUCUCGUGAGAAGUACAGACAAACUAGGUUAGAGCAGUACAAAAAUUAUGAAAACAUACCUCAUUCUGGAGAAGGUUCUGAAAAGGUAGACUGUGAGCUUGAACAUUAAAUAACAAUUGUUCUCUUUGAUUCCCUGCUUCUUAUUGUCUUUUGUUGUUCUCCAGGAAUGCAAUGCGACAAAGAAAGGGGGUAUGUAUUAUGAUUUCUGCCGCAAUACAAGAUCAGUGAAGUCAACAAUCCUUCAUUUCCAGGUAGGUUCUUAUUGCAAGUGGACCGUCUCUAAUCGUCUCAAUAUAUUACAGGACAUCAACUGUUAGUUCUUCACUGAAUGGAAAGAGGAGGACGAGCUACAAUAGAAAUGUUGAACAACUGUUUCCUUUAAAAUUUAUGGUCAGAUUAUAGGAUGCUGAGACAGCCUUUAAAGAAACUAUCUUGAGUAAUCUCUUUUGGUAUAUUGUUAUUCAUAUGAAGCUGCGGAACUUGGUAUGGUCGACGUCAAAGCAUGAUGUGUAUCUCAUGUCACAUUAUUCCAUUAUUCACUGGUCCCCAUUGUCCUGCAAGAAGACUGAAGUUCUUAAUGUCUCUGGCCAUGUUGCACCGCAAGAGGUACAUUCAUUUGGUUUAGUUCUUUGAUGCAUCACAUAUAAAAUCGAUUCUGUAUGUCCUCGUAGGAAAUUAUGUGGUUGAUACAUCCUUGGAUGUUUGUUCUGGACUUUCUUCCUCUGUGCAGAAACAUCCCGGGAGUCUCCUGGAAGGAUUUACCCAAACCCAAGUCAGUACACUGGCAGUACGUGAUAAUUUGGUGAUUGCUGGGGGGUUCCAAGGAGAACUCAUUUGCAAAGUGAGUUCUUUAGGAGUUCGUGCUACUUCUUGUUACAUAUAAUUUAAGGUCGAUGUUUUGUUCAUAUCUACAAAGUUGCACUAUAACUGCUGACAAACUAAGCUUUGGUAUCGUGUUUGUCUACAGUAUCUAGAUCGGCCUGGAGUUAGUUACUGCUCAAGGACAACUUAUGAUGAAAAUGCUAUAACCAAUGCUGUUGAGAUUUAUGAAUGUCGCAGGUUCUCUUACUUCCAUUUCUUUUAAAGGACAAGUGGUACAUUUUAAUUUUUAACUAGGACUGACCCUUUAUUAUAUAAUUUUAGUUUCUCCUUCGUCAAAAUAAUCUUCCAAAAAUUGUUGCAGCGGAUCAGUUCACUUUAUGGCUUCUAACAAUGACUGUGGAGUUAGAGAUUUUGACAUGGAGAGAUUUCAACCUUCCACAAAUUUCAGCUUUCCGUGGCCUGUCAAUGUAUGUAACCCCACGAUGACUUUGUAAACCUAGCUUUAUCAGCAUCUCUUUUAUAAUAUUAUACUUGAAGGUUCAAAUAAAUGUGAUGCCAUUAUAGUGUCUGUUUCAUCAUGUGAUGGGCACUUGUUUUUAUCACUCAUUUGUCACCUUUGAUUAACUUGUGUUCUCUGUUAAUUGUAUACAGCAUACAUCCCUUUGUCCAGAUGGCAAAAUCCUUGCUAUUGUUGGAGAUAACCCAGAGGGGAUACUGGUGGAUUCUCAAACUGGAAAGGUAAUCCCUUGGUUCUCCCUCUCAACUUUGCAUGUGAAAUGAUAUUCUCGUUUUCACAUAUGCUAAUUGGCAGACUAUUUUAUUUUGGGUGUAGACAAUUGCGACUUUACGUGGGCACUUGGAUUUCUCAUUUGCAUCUGCAUGGCAUCCGAAUGGUUAUAUAUUCGCGACGGGGAACCAGGACAAGACUUGCCGUGUGUGGGAUGCUAGGAAUCUAUCAAGAUCGGUAGCGGUAUUGAAGGGGAACUUGGGGGCUAUAAGAUCAAUAAGGUUCACGUCGGAUGGACAGUUCAUGGCAAUGGCAGAGCCAGCAGACUUUGUGCAUGUGUAUGAUGCGAAGAAUGGGUUUGAGAAGGAGCAGGAGAUUGAUUUCUUCGGGGAGAUAUCGGGUGUGUCGUUCAGCCCAGAUACAGAGUCGCUGUUUAUUGGGGUGUGGGAUAGAACAUAUGGAAGCCUGCUUCAGUAUAACAGACGCAGGAGCUAUGGUUACUUGGAUACCUUACUGUGACUGGAUGCAUAAACAGGGAAAAUAGGAAGGUGUGAUAUUUGAGGAGGUAAUAUAGGAUGAGAAUGGAUCAACAUUCUUGUACAUUAGCAAAAGAUCCUAUCUGACUCUUCUUUUUUUUGCCGUUCCGGUAUCGUCUUUUCUGGUCUUUCUUGUGUUUUUUACUGGUCGGUUUGUGACAGCAGUCUUGCACCAUCUAUAGAAAGAAGAGACGAAGGGAAGCAAACUGUCAAAUUAGUACACUGAUGUUGUAAUCACUGGUUACUCUUUACUCAUGCUGCUGUUUUGGUGGUUUCCAAGUGCAAUAAGUUGUUUGAAUUGUGUCUAGUAAUAUCUACGGGUUGUGGGAGAUUUCGAUAGAUUUGGAUGGGUGAUUUGGAGUAAGCGGCCUUGUAUUGUGGUGGCAGCCCUCUACUCUGGUGGGUAGUCCGGUAUAUGGGGGCGAAGUCAUCAUGAUUCUAGGCCGGCUGAGUUUGGGAGUCGAACUAGUGCUGCUGCAAUGACGACCCUACUCCAGGAUCACGGUAGUAGUUGGGUGUGUUCAGAACACCCCGCAUCGGGUCGCCGGCAUGCAUACUUUUUUUUGAGGAAAAACUACCAGUGGGGUUACAGCCCUAUGACCGGGAUGCAAAAGCACACCGUACUCGUUCGUCCCUUGAUAUGGGAUCUAUACAAGUUAAGACAAUUUCACUAGGACAUGUGUGCCCUCAUCGAAUAUCAUUUAGCACUCGGGCAACUAGAUGUCGCGGUGCUUGUCGGUGCUUGUUGUGAAUCUAAAUAUGCCAUUGAAGUGAACGUUAAGAAGUUACGGUUUAGAGUUACAAUUUUUUACAAAAGUGUUAGAUAUUAGUGAGACAAUUACUCACCUCGACAGAGUAAAGGAACUGCCCAUUGGAUAUAUUAUAACAGCUAAUACCGGCUAUAUCGUAACAACAAGAUUUUUGAGAUUCUAGGCUUGUGCUGCCUUUAUGGUCCUCUAAAUCUGUUAUCGCGUAUUAAAUUGUGUCCACUAAUAUCAAAAUCCCAAACUCAACCACAUCCAAUCAUAAGCUGACAUGUCAACCGGAAACAGAAAAAAACGGAAUAUGGUUUUGUAAAGUCCUAAAUCUUCUGCGGCGUUAAAUCCGGAGAGGAAUUAGACGGCGUUAGAUCCGGAGAGGGAACUGACACUUAUUUGUUCGGUAUAACAAACGUAGAAGCAAAAUUGAAAAGAAGCUGCCACCCUUGAAAUCAUAAUCAACGAGAAGAAAAGGAAUAUCCUGGAAACUUAAAUAUUAAAUAUAAUAAAUUACUUUAAACUACUCUAUCUCGCAGUUGACAACAAUUCAAAGACCUGGUCUUCACUGCCUUUCUGCUUUCCCCACCGUUCUCCAUCGCCCGUUCAUUAUCCGGUCUCUUUCUCGAAACUUAACAGCUCACUGAUCGGAAAAUUCAAAUUCAGAUCGCUAACGGGAGAGAAGAAUCAUGAGCUAUUACAACCAGCAGCAGCCACCAGUUGGUGUUCCUCCUCCACAAGGUCGGUUCAUCGGUUUCUCUGCUCUCCUUUCUUCCUUCUGAUCGAUUUCAUCUGUGAUUUUGUCCAUUUCUUUUCCGAAUAAGGAUCCGUUAGAUCUGAUGGCUUUCAGUUAUUUUUUUACUACGACGAUGAGAUGAAAUAGGUUAUCCGCCGGAAGGAUACCCUAAAGAUGCGUACCCGCCGCCGGGAUACCCGCAGCAGGGUUAUCCACCUCAGCAAGGUUACCCAGCUCCUCCUCCGCCUUAUGCGCCUCAGUACGCGCAGCCACCGCCUUAUCAGCAACAACAACAACAGAGCAGCAACGCUGGUUGUUUAGAAGGCUGGUACGUUUUGUUUGAUGAUUUCCUCUCUUCCCUGCACCUGUUUGGAUGAUCAGAAUUAGAAUAUAGAUAACAUCAAUUUUGGGUAAUUGGAUCGAGUCUAGUGUACAAGUCAUAUCUUUGGUCAGCCGUUGACAGAGCGAGUAGGAUGUCAGUCAACGCGGGGCUUCGCCGCCGGCUAGGUAGUGAGGAGUUCAGGGUUUGCGUAUUUGGCCGGUUGCCUUAAAUUCGCUGUUAUCAAAAGGUUCGGCCCUCUGGUUUGCAGCUGCGUGGGCUCCAUCCACCUCCUCUCAACGAUGCCAUACCAAACAGUAUCAGAAAGAAGAGGAGGAGCUGCAUAAUGUUGGUAAAUAAUAUAAACCAAUCUUGGACUUUCUCCCACAACUCGAGUUAUUGGGAUGCAAUGGUUCAUGACAUGGUAUUAAAGCCUUAAAAGAUAGAUAUGUCUCCGUUUUGAAUCCUGAUAGCCCUCAAUUCCUCGAGUAAUUGAAACGUUGUAAACCUCUACCAAUCUUGAACCCUCCCCCAACAGUUGAUCACACAUAAUCCUUUUUCACCGGACCCAUAGACUUUCAUUAAUUCUAUGUAGAUAAGUUCAAAAUCUUUCUCCAGUUGGCUGAUUAAGAUGUAAUUAUAUUUGCCAAACCUGUUGGAGUGGACGUCUCCUCCCUUGAGUGGAUUCCAUCAUCUUUUGGAGCUUGUCUUCCCUUGAUUGAAUUACAAGGAAAUCAACAUUUCCCCAUCCGUUUAUUGGCUUUCAAUUUCCCAACGAGCAGAACUGCCGACCUACAUUACAUAUAUGGUUCUUCUAUAAAUUGUAUCUUGCUCUUGCCCACUUUCUCAAUACUUAAUUUGACCAGGAUUCUUAACUAUGACUCUUCAGUUUGGCUUUUAUGGAUAUCUAUGAAGCGUGUAAGUGUAACUAAAUGUUAUAAACUGUUGUAUUCCAAAACCACAAAUUCGAGUUGUUGGAAGAGGAUUCAAAUUGACUUUUAUAUUAUUCAUUAACAUGCCCCGCUCAAUAAAUCAUGUGCAUGGGUUAAGGGUUAUGAUGCUAUGCAUUAACUGUUGCAUCCAAAUAACUGAAGCUGUUUGAAAAAGGGUUCUGAUUAACUUUUAUAUCAUUCAUCAACACUAAAAACUUGUCAUUUUUUAGUAUAGUUUGGGGAUAGCCUAUUUCCAACUAAUUUUGGUUUGAAUUUGUUAUUCAGUUUGGCCGCGCUGUGCUGUUGCUGCCUACUGGACGCGUGCUUUUGAGUGAAGACAUCAGACGUGCUGGAACCGCCGAUUGGGGUCCUACUGUCGAAAUGGCAUCGACUCAUGUCUUAAAAAUUUGAUUGAACAUUGAGUGGAUUUAUUGUAUGACCUCGUAUAAUGUCUUUUGUGGUCUUUGAAUUUGAUCAUUUACGUUAUUCAACACUUCAAAGCUAUGAGCCUAUAACGUUGCCAUGUUAUGCGUGAGAUUCUGUGUUUUGAUCAUCAUGUGGUGUUUCUUAUGUAAUGUUGAUCCUUGCAAGUGAUAAAUUUUCAACUUCUCUGAGGUUUAUCCGAGCAGUCUAACAGGAGUUAUAUUGAAGGGGUGGGUUGAGUUUGACUACUUUUAAUUCCCUUUUACACCAAAAAGAAUAUCAUCACCUGUUCGGACCAACGUGCUUCACGGUUCACAAAUUGAGCCGAGUCAAAUUUCAUGCUCAAAUUUGGUUUGUUAAUUUUUAUCUGGAUUCGAGGUUGAAUUCAAGCUAUAAAAUUUUGGUGUGUCAAGCUUGAGCGUAUUUGAAAAUAAGAUAAUAUGUGAAAAUAAGACCAACAGGCGUUUCAUGGACUAAAAAAACGUACUCAUGUUUACGGUUAUAUGACUUUGUAGUAAAAUACUGAAAUAUGCACUGACAAAGGCACAAAGUACUACUGCAAAUAUAUUAAACUGUCCCACAACAUUUUUAUUUAUUUGUUUUCCUUCAUUAAAAAAAAAAGAUAAUUAUCCUCUCCAAUGCAGCUGUGUGUCCAGAACACUAAUGCUUGGAGCAAUCCGAGGGAGGAAGGAGACGGUCCUUUUCCCAAGGUCAUACCCAACAACAAAAUUCAUCUGAGCCAAAUUCCCAUAUAUCCCCACAUCUUUCGUCGGCAGCAUCGUAAAGCACACCAAUCCCUCCUCCGCCGCCACAAACGUGUUCACCGGCUUCAACUCCACCUCCGCCCCUCCCCGGAAAUGCACCUUCAUCGCCGGCAACCCAACCUCCUCCUUCUCCUUCUUCUUAAAGCAAAGACUGAACAUAUCCUUCACGUCGUUAGCCCUCUCCAUCUUUAUCUCCUCCACCAAAGCUGCCUCCAACGAGCUGUAGAAUUCCGCUUCCAAGAACGUCAGCGUCGUCCCUGAGUCUAUUAUUAUGUUCCCUUCCUCCACCCCCACCGCCGAUGCAUCCAACGACGUCGGUUUCGAGUAAAGCAGCUUCUUUCUCCCUACAGUGAUUGCCUCCAGGGUUAAAUAGUAAUAAGUCGAAGGAUCCUUCUUCACUAAAGGAGUCGUAGAAACGACGCCGUUUGAUGGAGCUGAAAAGACCGGAUUGUCCCCAAACACAAUCCUGCUUGUAGCCGAAUCUGACGGUUGGGAUUGUGCCGAUAUUUCGGCCUCGAGUGGGAGGAGGCAGUAGGAGAACUUCUUCCUAAUCCUGCCCCCUAACUGAGAGACGAAAGAGAGGUCCCCACCUCCCAGUCCGACAAUCCCGGAGCCUAGGUCGUCAAAGUUGCCGCCGUUUCUAGUCCCGCAGCCAAACGCGACGUUCGGAAUGGACGCCGACGAGACGGUGAAGGUGUCCGCGGCGAGGUAUCCGGUGGUGUAGGAGUGGUCGCCGUAGGAGUAGGUGUAGCCGCAGGUGGUUUGGUCGUCGGUGCAGGAGCGGGCGGACUCGUCUAACGAGUUGCAUGGCGGGGUCAUGCAUGGGAGCUUGCGGAACGUGGUGGAAUUCGAAGGGUCGAAGAUGGGGCCCUUUUGUGGGUAGCAUUGGUCGCAUGGCUUGGACUGUAGCCAGGUGAGGUCGCUUCCCGUGUCGGCUAUGACUAGGAUCGGGAAAGGUGGGGUCCCAAUUGAUAGGUUCAUCAUGUACUCUCCUCCGCUUGGGACUAGGUCGGUUUGGAAGUCAACGUGGUCCAGUGCUCGGUGGCGGGAGAUGGAGCGGAGGAAGGAGGCGUGGAGGCGGUCGGAGAAGGUGGUGUUUGGGGUGUGGAGUGGGGAGAGUGGGGAGUCACGGUGGAUGAGGUCUACGGUGAUCGUCGUGGUCGUCGUGGAAGUAGCAAUGUGUGGGAGGAGAAGAAUGAGUAGUGAGAGUAGUAGUAGUGUGAAAUGAGGAGCUGCCAUUUUUUGAUUUCUUUUGUUUGUUUGUAAUCUGUUUGCUUUUGGUAGGCUUGGGGAGGUGGUGAUGAUUUUGGAGGUGGAGGGGGUUUGUUUUUAUGGAGAUGGAGAUUAACGUAUAACAAGUUCUUAUAAUUACUGAGAACUAUUGAUGGGAGAAGUGAUGAGACUGUAUGGAAUUUGAGGGGUGUGUUUCGGAUAUGAUGGUGAGACGAAGAGGCGAUCGAGCCAUUUAAUUGUUUCGGUUAGGAUAAGUAUUAGUAAUUGAUAUUCAUAAAUUGAUCCAAACCUAACAAACACAUGCAUUACUACUACAACUGUUCAGUGUCCAUUUUCUUUCAACUUUCACUCCUAGUCAGUCAUAGUUAUAAAUAUCUUACCCAAGUUGUAACUGAAAUUGGGGAAAAGAACCAAUCACUAGCGCCUGAAUGAAUGGAGAUUGCUAUUAAAAUAUCACCAAAUCGGAUUUCGGUUAAACUCCAAGUUCAACUCAUACCAUAUAGUGAACUUUUUGCCAAGUUGCAGUGCACAUGCGACGUAAGUAUCCUUAUAUAUUUCCUACAAUUGACAAUCAAGAUACAUCAGCAAGACAAUUAUCAUAGUAGGAAUGACUAAUCGAUUGAGUGAGAUCAUCCUCAGACACAGGAUGAAAUACCGUUGGAGAGGCUUGGAGCUAACUCUAGUUUGUUAUUAAAUAUGUCUGAGAAGAUUCUCCUUGUUGUCACAGUCCUACUGUUCAAGGAGUGCGUCGUUUAGAGUUCAAAGAUGGAAGUUACAGUUAGAUUACCAUUUUGUAGUUCAACUGUUCUUGCAUAGAUUUUUCUGCUUCAGGAAUCGUCAUUAUGAUAGUCUGCAGCUUCGUGUCAAUCUUUUCAAGUUUCUCCAGGAGUCUGUCAUUUGUAACAUCCCAAGGAACACAUUUGGGAUGGUAUCCUAACUUUCGAUCAACGGGAGUGCGAUAAUCACUGCCGAUCAAAUGGUGCCCCAUGCUAUGGCUAUCACAGCCCAGAAAGUGAAGUACCCCAAGUUGAACUCCUCUGCAUUUUCAACACAACAAAAAAUGCCACUUCUUGUUAGUUCAUUUCAAUGACCACGCACAAUAUUGGAACUAAGAUGGUCGAGCAAGAUUUCAAGUUUACAAUGAGUUUGAAAGCCACACCAGGCGAAAACUUCGAUUUUGAACACUUUGAAACCGAGAGACCCUAGGUGGUGGCCUAAGUUUGCUCACCCCUGGUUCUGGCAUCCACUAGACAAGCAAGUGAAGAAAGACAUGCAUAAACAAACUUAGUGGCUGGAAGGCCGAAAAGAGGCCACAAUACAACGAUGACAAGAGUGAAAGCAAUCCCCCACUUGACAAUCCAAGCUUUGGCCUUCUUUAGCUUCUCUUCUUUGAACUCUUCAGCCCGAAGAUCUGAAAUCUGAAAUCUUCUGUGUCAUAGUUGCCAUACAAUCUAAAGUUGAGCUCACUUGGGAGGAUAGAGGUGUCAAAGCUAAGACAACAAAAGGAUGCCCACGUCGAAAAGUACCUCCAUCGUCUAGAAAAGAGUCUGGUAACAGUGGCUUCCUUAAUCGUCAUGGAAGACAAUAUAAGGUGGAGGACAUCAUCAGGCAGCAUACUGAUUCGAUCAUCUGCAUUAUAGCAAGGUAUUCUACUGCCCCUCUUUUCAACACCUAAAACAAGAACAAACAUACAAUUCAUCAAGUCCGUGGAAGGCUCAAUAUGUGCAUAGCACAGCAAGGAAACAAAACAAGAAAGCAGCAGCAGUUGGACAGGACACAUAGAUGAAUAGAUUAAGACUAACAUGUUGAUAGUAAUUAAGAAAUCUAGAGAGUCGAUUGCACUAAGCUGAAUGUUACAGUAAACAACAAGACAAAUGGAAGAAAAAAUGGAGAUGUUAAUGAAACUGACCAUAGACUUGAUUAGACCGGGGUGUUGCCAUGAGGAACCAGACCUGCGAAGCUUUCUCCUUCCCGUCAUUGAUAUUGGAUUCGGAAGGCAAAAACAAUAAUACAUUUCCCCUUUGCCAGCGAUAGAAAGCGGAUCAAAAGAUACAAACUUGGAGGCUUUCUCUUCAUAAACAGGGGAAGAGGAAGACUGAAGAGGAAGAGGAAGAAGUGAGUUGAAGAACUCCAAAGUAAUAAAAACAGGAGCUACAGACAGGAACUGAAGAGCAGAGCUUCCGCGGAAACACCCACCGCCAACUCUGGGAGAAGAGAUAUGCGAUUGAUUGAUGAAUGAAAUUUCAGAUACAAAAUCAAAAGCUUGACAGAAACUCGGACAAGGUAAAGGAAUUACUUUGGGUCCUCAAUCCCAACUUGACUCCGAUUUACGACUCCAGCCCAUCCAUUCUUCUCUUCCGUCCGUUCUAUGUAAUGUAACCAGUUUUUACUUCUCUCCCGCGGGUUUGAAAAUUCAAACUACGCGUAAUGCAACAUUAUCAAACUCCGUCUUGGCGUCUUCUUAUCUUACCUUCACCGCUCUCUUCCUGCUAAUUCCGGGGUUUGGAGAAGAAGUUGCUUGCUGCCAACAUAUAUAUCUAGCUUGACAAUAACUGUGCUGAGAUUCUUGAGCUCAAACCUGUAUUGGGAGAUCAUGAAUCAUGAUGAUCAUGUUCCUGUCAUCAACAUUAUGAAUUUAUGAUUGCUAGCUCAUCUGUGUAAAGGUUUCAUUCAUUCUUUCAUUCUUGUCACCAGUUUAUAUGUAUCUGGUAAUCUCUAAGUUAGUGAAUUGGGAGAUUACGUAGCAUAAUGGCAUUUGGUAUGAACUUUACGAUGAAUGAAAUUGAAACACCACAUUGCUAGAAAACUAAACAUAUAUUCUGUUUAUAUUUGGAUACAGUCUCAACGUUUGCACUUUGACAACUCUCAAUUGGCCCACAACACGUUGAUGGUUGGGCUUGUGCUUGUUCAAGAACCCUAACCCGCCGCCUACAAAAACCCUAGCACAUCUCAUUAAGAGGAAAAAUAAAACUUAUUUCGUCGGUUUCGAAUAGUAAUGACUUAAGUUAUUCGCAAAUUUUUAAUAUAAUUUAAGGAAUAAGUCAAAAAUUGAAUUUUAAUAGUUUAGGUGUAGGAUCUAGUGUGUUCACAUGGAUAUUUGAAAAUUAGAAAUAGUGGAAAAAGAAUUGAGAAUUAAAAUGGGUCGUUUUGGAACUAUUGUACUAUUUUUCUUGCCUAACAAUCCAGUCCACCAAUCUGAGGUGUUCGUACAAACUACAAAAUUAGUAGUUUUAGUACAAGUAUUAAUCAAGAUUGGUACAAGUACAAUGCACAAAGCUGUUCUAUGGGCCUGUCGCUAUCGCCGUGUUGCCCAAGAAAUACAAACUAAAUGCGUACCCAAAAUUAAAUUAAUAAAUGGAAAGGAAAAGUCGGGUCUAGAUCAACGAAUCAGAUCUUGCCACCAGUCAGAAGAAGAAGAAGAAAUCGUUUUCCCUACGACCUCCCUUAAUAAAACACAUUCCGGAACAAUCCGCCAAAGGAUCCGGGAAACCCGACCCGAGACCUACCUAACUCUCUGUAGUAUAUAAGCCAAAUUCUCUCUUAAACCCCAGUUUCUCUCCAUAGCGAAAACUAAAACCCCCAGACAAAAAGAAGCAGAAAAGAAAACUGUUUUUCAAGACUUGUUCAACAACCAUCUUUAAAUGAUGAUGGCGUCCAAGGGUCGGAGUGCUGCGAGGCUGGCCGUGGCGGUGCUGACGCUACGCAAUUUCUCGACAGCAAGGGCCGGAGUUGUUUCUCGGCAGGCCGUCGGAAUCUCAAGAAGCAGCGGAGUCCAGGCUCCGGCGGCGGCGGCGGCGUCUGAGUGGUGGAUUCGAGGUCCAGCUGGGCGGGUCGGGGUUGACCGUACGUUUGCGACGUUGACUCUCGGGGAGCAGGAACAGCAGGACGAGAAGAAAGAGCAGCAGCAGCAAGAGGCAGGAACUGGAGGCGGCGGAGGGAUGAACGGAAAAGGGAACGGAGAGGAAGAGAAGGGAAUUGUGAGUUACUGGGAGAUACCGACGAGGAAGAUUGUGAAGGCUGAUGGAUCGGAUUGGAAGUGGAAUUCUUUCAUGGUAAGGACUGUAUGGUUAAUUGAAAUUUGAUUAAGAGCUUGGAUGGAUUCUUGAUUUUUGAUUCUUUAUUGUUGGUGUUGGUAUUGACGUGUGAUUAGCCAUGGGAGACGUACAAGGCGGAUACAUCAAUUGAUCUGAAGAAGCAUCAUAAGCCAUCAACGUUGCUCGACAAAUUCGCAUUCUGGUCUGUCAAAUCCCUCCGCUGGCCAACCGACUUGUUCUUUCAGGUUACUCCCUUCUUUCGCUCUUGUUUAGUGUAUAAUCUAAGUGGAAAUGUGGUAUUUAAUUUGUCUUGAUCUGGAGACGGUUUUUGGUUUGAUUAAUAAGGGGAAAAGAAGAAUAAUUAACAGUGAUUUUGGAAUGUGACAGAGGCGAUAUGGGUGCCGAGCAAUGAUGCUGGAGACAGUGGCAGCAGUGCCAGGGAUGGUAGGAGGGAUGUUGCUCCACUGCAAGUCACUUAGGAAGUUUGAGCACAGCGGUGGAUGGAUCCGAGCACUCCUGGAAGAAGCAGAGAACGAGAGGAUGCACCUCAUGACAUUCAUGGAAGUUGCUCAGCCUAAGUGGUACGAGCGUGCUUUGGUCAUGGCAGUUCAGGGCGUCUUCUUCAACGCCUACUUUUUAGGGUACAUCAUCUCCCCCAAAUUUGCACACAGAAUGGUGGGCUACUUGGAAGAGGAGGCCAUCCACUCCUACACCGAGUUCCUCAAGGAGCUUGACAAGGGCAACAUUGAGAAUGUGCCUGCUCCUGCAAUCGCCAUCGACUACUGGAGGCUCCCUGCUGAUGCUACAUUAAGAGAUGUUGUCGUGGUUGUCAGAGCUGAUGAGGCUCAUCAUCGCGAUGUCAAUCACCUUGCUUCUGUGAGUAUACACCACUUAACUACUGUGAUUAUUAUGCAAUUGUUUUUGGUUUAUGAGAUUGUCACUUAGACUCGUUGAUGUGUUUUUUUGGCAGGACAUACACUACCAGGGACAGGAACUCAAGGAAACUCCAGCACCGAUUGGGUACCACUGAAUAUAGCUUGCUGAUGUUUGAUGGGAAGGAGGGAUUUGUCAACUGAUAUUUGAUUAAGUACGAGUUUGGAUAUUGUUGAGUGUAAAAUGCUUCAUAGUAUUUCUCUACGUUACUAUUUCCUACAUCCUAGAAUUUUAUGUCUAAUGACACUGUGAUGGAUCUUGUCCUACUACUACCUUCUGUAAAUAGAAAAAAUAACAACAUUUGUUCAUUGUUUUUAUAUAAACUUGUAUGUAGUAUCACUGUUUUCCCCCCAAAAAAUCAAGUUAGUAACUGGAAGGUAACUUUUAUUUAGUUGAACAGGUCACAUGGUGAUUAUCUGAGAGUAAUGAUGUGUAACAGACAACCGACCUUAUUGAUAUUCAUCAUCAGACCCACAAGACUUGAUUACAUAGUUGAUACCAUGAAACGAAGCCAGCUGAAUCUAAGAGGCAGUUACUCUUGCUACCUGGUAUCGAUGAGAGACCGUAAGAGGCGAUUCUUUCGACACCGGGCUAUCCGCUGACCAUAGCUCCAGAUUAACGGUUCCAGUUCCCCAAUGAAUGUAACACUUGUAUACCUCAUUCACAUUGAAUCGGUUAACCAGCCCCAAACCUGAACAUCUGUCCACCAGCAUCCAUUCUCCUGGGAAAAACCGGAACAGCUACUCGUUAUAACUUCUUUCUGAUGGAUCGUUAGUGUUGUUCAAUCUACCCAUUCAAAAGGGCAAAUGCAUGAGCAGAAAUUACCGUUAGGACGAUGAUCCCCUUGAUAGGUCUGGUCGUUGGCGUCUGGCCAAAUCUCAUGCUUUGAGCCAUCAACAGCGGUGAAGGAGAUGAAUGUUUCAGUUGGGUGCAAUAAGGUAAAAGUCGGGUGCACCCUCAAGCAAACCAGCCUACAAAAUCAAAGCAAAACAUAUAAAAUGACCACUUCGGUCUUGACUGAGUUCAUAAUAUAACACGAUCAUCACGAACAGAAACCAACCCCUAGCGACUAGCAAUUAGUACUGCACAGCAACGUCCAAUUUUUAAGAAACAACCACACAAGACUGUCUGUUUGUCUUCUGCGCCAAAAUCAACCACAAAAUUUGCACCAAUUAAAUUUGAUCAAUCAGUUUCACAUCCGAAGUUAGAAAUGUGAUUCCUCUCGAAACCUUACAAAAGCAAAUCAAGGCAUUAUCUGGAGCUGUAGAACUUUUACAUGGACAGGAUCAGUCGCAAGCAAGAUAGGAAAUGGUUCAUGUCAUGCUGGAAUAGCUAAACAGCGACAUCAAUGAUAUAUUUCUUUAUUGCACUAUCCCAAGAAAUGAGAAAAAAAAGGUUAUUGAGAAGGGCAAUAACAUCUAACCUGGAAAAUCCUCCAGAUCCAGCACCAACGCUGCGGGCCACAAUUGCGGACUCAAUUUGAAGAAUUUCUGGCUUAUCUUUGAGUAUGGACACAUGCCUCUGAAGAACCACUCCUCCGCCAACAUCUCCUUCUAACAUCAGGGAUUCCCCUUCUCCAGCAUGCACAAGAUCACGCCUACAAGAAAGAAAAAUUAGAAUAUUCCAAAUGUUUAGAACUUGAAUGAACACCUAAAUGACUGUUCCACUUCGAAAUAACAAAUCCUUCCGUACUAGGUCUCUAGUGUAAAAGUUCAUAUUCCUAGUCCCGAAAGAAACAGCAGAUAAAGAUAUAUGAACUAUCAGGUAAGCUUCUACGUUUCUCAUAUAAGACAGACAUGGACAGGGAUGAUUGGUGUAUGAGUUGGCAGCCCAGUAUUCAAAUGAAACUUAAAAUUUUCAAUAUUUUCUAUCAACCAAGGAUGAAGUAGCGAGGGAUUCAGUUUAAGUACUCGAUAACACUGUAUGCUUCAGAACAUCCGGCAGAACGAUACUCAGUACCACUGUACUCUUCGUAUCCAUCCAUAUCAAUCCUGCUAUGUAACCACUGUGUACCUGUCAGCAAAGCGGAAGUUAAGAGACAGGCCUUAUACACAUGUCUAACUCAAGCAUUGCCAACUAGAAAAAGGAAAUUAACACUAGGACAAUAAAUGCGAAACUCUAUGGCCGAAUCCAGGGUUACUUUGCACCAACACUACCUCCAGAUCUCUCUUUUAUUUUAUAUCGAAGAAAUUGAUUGAGAGAUACGUGCAUGAUCAUGACAAAGGCUUGGAUAGUUUACAAGCACGUUGCAAUAGAAGUAGACCUACAAAUUACAAUUACAGUCUGCAGAGGUAUACCAGAGAUCAUGAUGCACAAAAAAUGCAAUGUCAUCAUGAUCCUCGUGCCAGGCUUGUGGAUCAGAUGUCCUCGUGAGUUUUUUAAUUACUACCCUAAAGUUGCAGAGUAAGCAACGGAAACAUAAAUAAAAAGCUGUGCACACCAGCAUGAUGGAAGUCAUUUAUUAUGGGAGGGUCGAAGGUUGUAGACAUUACCUGAUGGAAGAUGCUCCAUAGAAAUAAUUCUACCGCCAAUCCAGGGAACUAUUUUAACAGACCAGUCUCCACUUUUCAGUUCAACAGGAGUCUUUGAAAGCUCGGUUCCCUUUGGCCCAGGAUCCUUCCCCACAUCUGGGAUUGCCUUGGCACUUUCUGCAUUUUGGGAACUCUUGUCAUGAGUUUGAAGAUAACAAAACUGAACAACAAGAAGUCAAGCAUGAUACAAUUAUGAGACACAUGGAACAUAAGGGACUCCAUGAUUUAGAAGAUUGAAUCCUUCACAGCAAACUGGUUUUAUGAAUCCUUAACCCUGACAAGAGGAAACAAGAUAAAAGAGCAAAUGUUCCAGCACCCUAAAGAGUUUACUCUUAUGAAACCAAAUGAAUGUGAUGCUCACAGGGUAUAAGUUAAAAAAUCAUACGAGAGAAAGGAAGUAUGCAAGAAGCCAGGACGCGCACCUAGACGAGUCCGGUACCGUUCAUCGCCUGCGGAUACCAACUUUGAGAUAUCAUGCUCACUGGGAAUUGUAAUUUGAACUGCAUCCCCAUCCAUGCCCCAUGCAUCAAGCUGUAAAGAGAACUAAUUUUAUCAAAGAGCCGCAUUAAAAGAAGGCUGUACAGAAGUGCCUGCAAAUUGAUGAAACUCUUUAUCAGAAGAUAUGAAAUAUAAUCCAGAGAAAUACCAUUGCACCUCCACCAACCAACAGAUAUACAUGCAAACGACGACUUGGCCUCUGCCAUAAUCCUUCUGUUUUCGAAACCUUAACCGUAACAACUGAAGAUUUCAGUUCUGCAACAUAAUGUGUCAGCAGAUACUCCCCCUUUGUGAAAUCAUAACUAUCACCAUCAUCUUCAAAUAAUUGGCCUUCUGCUUUCCCUGAAAAUAUGAAGACACUUAUCACUUAUGGGCACAUACCUCUAGCAUCAUUAUAGUAGCCAAAACAAACAUACUUCACAACCACGACCACAAACUACUAAUAUGGCCUUGCUCCAUUGUAUACCAUUUUGCUUAAUUUAUAGCUAAUUAUGUCUGUUUUCUAAAACGAAGAGAUAAGAGGAAGUCCCCGAAACAGGAGAAACAAUGUGUGAACUUUUCCCUUCGAAGAAAACUGGAGAUGUUCCUUCUUCGAAAACAGUAAUCAAAACUGACUAGACAAGUAAUGAUUUAAGAAGGUGAUUAUUGUGUCUUGUAGACAAUAAUGCUCCAUAAAUAGAAAGAAUCAUGACUUACCAUUUUCGUUUAAAGCUACCAGGACGGUCAGGUCAUCUGAUUUAUUAGAUUCACCAACAUGCUGAUAAGGACGACUAGAAGGAAUUAUUGAUCCACCUUGCAAGUAUAAAGUCGGUAAAUCCUGCGAUAUACAGCAUCGUAUAACUGUCAUGCAUAUGCGCCCCAUGGAUAGGUGCAGCAAUAAUAUAAAUUUAUGAACAUGCAUGCAUUCAUGCAGCAUACAAAUACAUGAAUACAUACAAAAAAUGUAUAUCCAUAUAUGUGCAAACUAUAUUUCCACAAUACAUAUCUACCAUAGGAUCCAAAACAGGCUGAGUGAUGACCGUACCGGAUGUGCAUCAUCAAAAUCAAAUCUCAUCCAAACUCCUCCAGGAAGAACAUGCUUCACUUCAUUAGUUGUCUGGUCAGAAGCAGUGCUGAAGAGAAAGCAAAAUUGUAUCAGUAAGUACCAAUAUCAGCAGUUCAAUCCCAGCACUUGGAAAGCAUAUUCCAGAGGUGUCCCUCUCUUAUUUUAUAACUGAUGUUCGCAUCAUACCAUUAACUUUGGUUUUCCAUUUGAAAUUUAAGCACUCAAAAGUCCUUAAAAAUCCAGAUGCCCGUGUUUCUCUGAUGAAGUUGAUAUUACCAAGGGUAAGCAUGUCAUAUUCAGACAAGCAUACUUAAAUAAUCAACAACUUACUAACUGAUUUAUGUUAGGCUCCACGAUAAUUUAUUUUCAUAUUUCAUAUGAAUGUCUUAAAGAAGUGCCUAUAGUUCAAAUUGAAUUACAGUCGGAGACAAGGGCAUCUGGAAACACAACACGCAAGAAUUUCAAAGAUUCGGGACUCGAUUCACACUAUCGACCAAAAAAAAUUAAGAAAUAGAAAGAAGAAAGAAUACUCUGAGACUGCAUAGUACUUUGUAUGAAAGAAAUUAGCACCCAAAAUGCAAUAAAAAGAACCAUAACCUUGAGCAGACAAGAAGUGAACCCAGCAGGAAAGAAUUCUCAAGUUUCCUUAAGCUGGGAUCUUUGGGAUCUACACACAAUAUAUACACACUAAUUAUUAAUUGCAGAAAGUGUAAGAGUUAGGAACUUCAGAACUAGAUAGUGCUACAGUACAAAACCCACCAGCAAAAAGUGUAGGGGUUGCCACAGGACUACCCAUCGUGUGAGACAUAUAGAAGAGAGUAUAUAUGUAUGGUAGAAGUCGGUAACGCCUUCUCAAUGCAAGGCGGCAAACCUCUUCACACUGAUGAUAAUGUAGAUUUGAAUAAAUAACAUACACAACAACCUCAGAAAAGCAGUAACAUGAACCUAUCAAAUAUUCUAUACAGGUAAUGUGUAAAUUCCUGUUUCUGUAGUAUUCUCUUUCCUAAUUAUUACUAAUAAUUGAGAUGUAGCGUCAGGAGAGCCAAACAGAAAAAUAAAGUACUUCAACUAAUAGGGGACGGCUAUUGACCUCUUACAGAAAGUAUGAGUUCACUUAGGAUGAGAUUCCUGAAAUGAUUGGCACCAAGUUCAUAUAGUAAAGGCAACAAACCUCUUCCCCAAAAGACCAUGGCUCAUGGUCAGUUGUGCCCAUUUCUGAAUGUCCACGGCAAAAAGGAAACAACGAACCUAUGCCCAUCCACCUCCCAAAGAGUUUCGGCGUUGCAUUUCCAGCAAACCCACCAAGGUCAGGUCCUGAAAGUGGCUGACCACUGAGCCCCUACACAUUCAGUAGAAUUAAAAGUAAGUGCAGGAGUAGGGAUAAAUCAUGAAAAAUCAUCUUCACUCUAUAAGUCAAGAGCAAGACAAAGAACAUGGUAAAGAAUAUAAAGCCCUUUACUUCAAAGCAACAUAUAAUAUGAAAGCUUUCCAUAGUACCUCUAGAAGAAUGAAGCAAACCAAUUCCCACCGUUUGUGAAGGAACUACCAGAUAUCUAAAAUUACUUACCAAUUGAAGUACCAUUGGGAUAGACAUCUGCAAAUGCUCCCAGUUGGAAAGAUUAUCCCCCGUCCAAGUGGCCGCAUAUCUUUGACUACCGAUAAAUCCAGCUCUGGUAAGAACAAAAGGGCGCUUAUUAUCAUUUGAUAAUUUCAUCCCUUCAAAUGUUGAUCUUGCCAUGAGCAUGCCAUACACCUAAAACAAUAAAAAAUUAUACACUUCUCAGUAUGGAACCCGACAGCCUUUUAUUGCCAAAAGGCAUUUGAACUUACAUAGCAAUACACAGAUAAAUUUUACAAAAACUCAAUAUGGUAACACACAAUGUGGCUGAAGAAAAAUACAUUGUGAUAUUGCAAGUGAUUCUGGCAACCUCCAAGUUCAUCAUCUCCUCUAUGGAUGUUGCUUUCGGGCAUUGUCUUUGUUACAGUCUGAAAAUGAAGUUAAUAACAAUAAGAAUGUGGAAAUGAACAAAACCACUUGACAAAAAUGUAAGCACAUAGAUCAGUAGAAAACUAACUUUGAAAACUGCAGGCUCGUUCAUGUCAUUCCAUAUACCAUCAACACCAUUGGAAACAAACUCCCUAACUAAACUAGCCCACCAGGAACGAACUUUGGACUGUGUGAAGUCUGGGAAAACACAAGGUCCAGGCCACACCUCCCCUGAUAGACAAGAGUAACGUUUGCAUUAACUUCUCAUCAAGAAAACAGAUCACUAUUCAAGAUUGGAAAUAAUACCAAUAUAUGGCUGCCCAUUUGCAUUCUGAACCCAAACAUCACUUUUAGAGCCGCUAUCAUAUACAAAGUAACUCUCUUCACACUUGAUUCCCGGGUCAAGCAUCCAGAUUGCUUUGAAACCCAUAUCAUGGAGAUCUCCUGUUAAAGAACGUGGAUCUGGAAAGCGUUCCUGAGAUAGUCGUAAGAGGAUAACAGUCAUUGAGUCAAUAAUAGUGGUGAAGCGACCUUCUUACAAAUUUCCGAGCGUCAACAAAACAUGGUACGAGAAGUUAUACAAAAGCCAGUUACAACCUGAUCUAUUCAUUGUUGCUUCCGGUGAGCCGGAUACAUUUUCUAUAGUUUAAAGCUGUCUUUUUUCUUUUUUCAUUAUAGAAAAAGAAAUGUCUAAAGGCAGCUUUUCAUUACAGAAAGUGAAUCAAGCACACCGAAAACAACAAUGAGAUAAAUCAGGUUGUAGGUCAUAAUACUGAGUAGUGGUACAGUGGCACCACUCCAGCUCUUGACCAAACUAUUAACCUUUUAAAGUGUUGCUUAUUUUAACCAUGAAGCCGCCUAAUUGUAAUUAAACUAGUAUAUGUGUCGGAACCUAAACAGUGCUGUAAUGCUCGAUGUAACAUCCAUAACGGUCAUGAGAUUACAUGUAGAAUGUGGGACGUGGACAAACAGAGCAAUCAAAUAUUCCAUAGUGGAGACAGAAACACAAAGAUAACAAAUGAAAGUCUAGCCUUCCAACAGACUAUGAUACUACUUGUAUAUCAUGAUAUAAGGAAUACAUGCCUUGUCAAAAGUGAAACAUCGAAAGCCUUCCAUGUAGUCAAUAUCCAUCCAAAUGACGUCACAAGGGAUGUCCUUCUCACGGAAUGUUUUGGCAACCUGCACAAGUAACUCCUCAUUUAUUAGGAAACGAUAUUGUUGAAUCCAAGUAAAGAGGAAAUCUCACAGCGAAAAUUCCCAGCUUUUAUCUCAUUUUCAGGGAAAACAUGGGAACUGCCAAGCAAAAGAAGAAACUUUUACAUAGAAUAUAUUUUAAAUUUGAAGAACUUUGAACUAAACCAAAACUAUGGAAAAAGAGAUACCAACUAACAAUACAGAAUCUUUUUACUCCAGAAUCCCAAUUUUAAAGCAACUAACAAUCAUUGGAAAAAUUAUUGCCAGGGUAUAAAAAAACAUGAGUAAAAUGUCCCUUUAAGGCGAGAAAAUUUGGCUUUAUUAGAAAGCUAUUACUUAGUCACUCACCUCUCGAACUCUCUUGGCAGAAUCAUAGCUCCAGCGGCAUUGCUGAUAGCCUAAUGACCACUUUGGAGGCAUGAAAACCGUACCUAUGUAGAACCAUACAAAAGCCCAAAUAAAUAAAAGAAAAAUCAUCCAAACAAUGAAAAAGAACACAAACAAGUCACUGGCCUAGCAGGAGCCACACAAUAGAACUACUUCUUCUAAGGCAAGCCAGAAAAACAAUAGGUCAAUUUCGUAUUAAAAACUACUAAAGUUGUUCUACUUUACAUUAUUAGUUUAAUAAACUAAACCUUUUCUGAAGACCUAGUUAUUACACUGUGUAAUUUUCAGGCUCAUAUUUUCAACCACCCCAGCAGAACCAAGCAAAGUAAAACAAUAUGGAGAUCAUGAAAACGGCACAGAUGAAAGUCAUUUAGAACUUAGAUUCUUACCAAUCGCACGUGACAGAGAUCUCAAAACAGCUGUUGGUGAUGGAAAUGGGCCAAAAGAUAUGAUGGGAUAGGAGGAUGGGGCAAUAAACCUAACUAUUGAUUCAGUUCUCAGAUCAAUCUGCAUUUCAAUAGGUUUAUUAAUAAUUUACUUGGCAAAAACAUGCGAGGGUUACAAAAGGGCCCCCAGGUAUUCUAGAAACAAAGAAUCCAAUAUGUUGCUCACCUCACAGCGCUUAGUGGUAUCUGCAAGUAGUCCAAUUGCCUCUCCAUUAGGAAGAAUGGCCAACACCCAAGGAUGUGAUUGGUACAAGGAUGUAGUUCCUGGACCAUAACCCCAGGCAUCUGUGUUCCAAGUGAAAACCUACAGUUUAGAAAAAAAUGACACCUUCAAUUUAGAUUUCAAGCACGUUUACUGUAGGCAUAUAAAACAGCAAAACACUUACCCUUUUUCCAGUCCUCUCAAGCUGUCCACUAACUUCUCCACUUCCGUAAAAGGAGGUACCAACGGGCAGCUAACCACAAGAGCAAACAAAAUGGUCAAUUUACAAGGAGCCAAACAAAGAAGCUCCGUCAGUAGUAAGUAGACCAUAAAUGUUCACCUGUAGAUGGACACACUGAUUUCCGGAACCACACUUAAAAGUUGGGAUAAAUGAAGGAACAGCUUGAGUAGCAUUAGUAAUUGGCAUGUCCCUAUAUUUGGUAUCGACGAAAGAAACGCUGGGAAAAGCAACAGCUCGAUCGUCCACAGAGCAAUCGAAUCGGAAAACCCCUUCCUCCAAGAUUGGCUGGAAAAUCAUGUCGCCGGAACGGACAUCGCGCUCAGUAAACUGCGUCGCCUCUCUUUGAGAAUUGGACAUUUUGGAAAAUAGCCUAGUUCGCUUGGGCCUCGGGUACCUGCAUGCGAUCAAAUCUGAUUCAGGAAAGCGGAAAAGCACAACACAGUGAUCGGAGAUCAAGGGACGAAGCAGAACCUGGGAAAGUAUAUAGAGGAAGCGAGAAGAGAAGGGAAAGGAAGAAGAAGAUUAGGAUGAUGAUGAUGAUGAUGGCGUUGAGGAGUGGGUGAGGGAAGUGGAAAUGGCGCCACUAGUUCCAGGCCAUGGGAGUGCAGUGGAGCAGUUGUGAUGGUGGUCGACGGUAGAAAUCGUGCCAUUUCUAGCUUUUUGUUUAUUUAUUUCUUACAUUUCCUUCUACUCGCCCAAUCAUCCAAACCUAUCAUUUGUCGUAAACAUACGUAAGGAUUCGCGGAAAAUAUUAUCCGAUUUGUUUGCUCUUGUCAACAAGAAAUUGCCACUAAUCACUUCUGAGAAACCAUCCGAAACGGAAAUUAAUUUAAAGAAAAUGAAAUAAUAACGUUAUUAUGAAGGUUUUAUUUUCAGCUCACAUAUUACUUUUUACGAUGACUUAAAUUGUACAAUGCUUUCAUUUUACUAAUACGUUUUCUAUAUUAAAAAAAAUUGAUCUACUUUUAAUUAUUUUCUAAAACUUUAUAAAACACGCGAAUAAUUUUAGUAUAUAUAAAAGGAACACAAGUUUUAAUAUUUUGUCCACAUCACACCUUAUUUCCAUCAUCGUCUUCUAAAAUAUCAUAAAAGAGAGAAUUCUAUACGAAAGAAAUAGCUUCUUGAUUUGAAGUCUUUGAAGUGGAUGGCUCCUUUCUCCUUGUGUUGGCGUAAAGAUUCAAGCCAGAGACAUUUGCAGAUUAACGGAAGUGAUUGGUUGCAGACAGUUGAUCUGUUGUUCUCAUUAGUUGUAACCUGUAAGUUUUCAAACAAGAUAACAAGUUUUUUUCUGUGGUUUUGUAACUAGUUAUCUGUGUCAGUGGUAUAUCUCUUCCAUGUAUUUUGUAAUAAAUAAAAAAGUCAAUGAAGCACAAGUCAUGAAGCAGUUGCCACAGCAGCAGCAGCUUGUGCAUGCACUCUGGGACCAGGUUCAGAAUGGGCUUUCCGAACGGUGACAAGUGCGGAGGCAAGGGCGGCGGCUGUGGAGAGAAGCGUAAGAACCCCAGAGCCGGCGUAGAUCCCAUCCUUAACGACGUAGCAUCUUCCGUCGAGCCAGCCAUUCCCAUACGGCUGAGUUCCGCUCAUGCUUGUCGCUCCCCCUAACAGCACUGCUGCCAUCCCAAAACUCGCCCUAUUUUUUAAAAGAAACAAGACAACUCGCUGAGUUAUUUAUUAGAAUAGCAAACCAUCCCUACAUUAUUCUAACUUGUUUACUAGUCUGUAACACAAAAAGAAAAAAUUAAGAUACUUGAUAAAAGUACAUUCAACGGGAAUCAGAAACUCCCCCCUUGCAGAAAGGCAAGAAUCAAGGGUCGCCUCAUUUGUCAGACAUUAGCAAAUUAAAGGCUAAAGAUCAUUUCUUUACGAUCGCUAUGAGUUGGCAAAUGUUGUCAGACAGACACACUGUCAUUAUCUCAAAAGGGUUUGUUUGUUUCAUGUGAUCAUAGAUGUGACUGACUGAUUAUGAUCAAGUUCCAGCCAUUUCUCCCGGAAACAGAGCUUUCAAAAUUCGACAGGGGAAACAGAGCUUUCAGAAUUUCAUCAAUAUGGACCCAACCAACCUUGAGCUAGCUAGGACACAGGUUAGCCCAUCAGUUCCGCCAUUGAAAUUGAUGGGCGAAUCAGGGCCGAACUGAAAAUGAUUAACUUCGAAUAUUUCUAGUAAAUGCAGUAAAUGAAAAACAGAAGGAAGGGCGAUGGUUUGAUGAGUAAUUACCAGGAGAGAAGCAUGAGGAGGAUGGCCGGAAUAGUAAGCUUACUCCGGCUGGACUUGGCGGAAGAAGACAAAGAAGAAGAAGAAGCAGAGACGGUGGAAUUGGAAGGAGGCAGAGGAUGAUCAGUGGUGACAGCCGGCCGCUUGUUGGGCGAAGAACACGAAAAGGAGACGAAGAAGAAGUUGGCGCAUAUAACCAAGUUGGUAAGAGUAUGCGCAACUACUAGACACGCGAUUGCCGCCAUUCCGAACCCGAACGCAUUGCUCUCCGGCAUGUAACACAUCGCAUUCACCAGUUUCACAUCCUUCUUCUGCCCCAUAUAUAUACGUAAUAUUGAAAAUCAACGAUCGGAAUCAAAGGUAAUUAACGGGAGAGGAAAUGAAGGAGAAAGUGGUGAUGAAUGAUGAUCACCUUGGCUUUCUUGGUCUCGGCGAUGACGGAGGAGACAAAGGAUGCGAGGGCGAGGGAGAUGACAAUGGCGAGGAAGAAGAGCAACCCAAUUCUCUGCUUCUCCAUUUGUGACUGAAUGGAGAAAAGGAAUUGAUAAAAAUGAUGAUCCAAAUUACAAAAAGGAAAAAGGAACAAGGAAGCUUGGAGUUGACUCAAUGAAUAUGUAUAUGUAUUUUGUAGUGUUAUGAUGGGAGAUUGUGCACUGUUACUGCUCACCUUUCUUUCUUUCCAACACGGAACAGAGUAGGGGGGAGAUCUGGGGAUGGGCACUGUUGUAUUGUCCCACCUUUUGUCUUGACUUUCAAUCCAUUGGCUAGAGUUUUUUGACUUUCUCGUUUGGCCAAUCAACAGAAUUGGAAUAAUAACGUACAGAGUGUUGUUGCAUUGUAUAUUUGUAAGUGUAACUUGUGUAUAAAAUAAAUAAAUAAUAAUAAUAUGUGUGAGUCAAAAAGGAGAUUAACAAAGGAAUAAUCUAUUAAGAAAAGGGCAGAGUUGUGAAUGCAAAGAGGACGAAUUUGAUGGAUGAUGUGAUCCGCCUUUCUGUCUUUGUAAUUGCAAUUAACAAGAGUGUGUGUGUGUGUCGUGUGAGAGUGGGAUGAUGGGAUCGGAUUCUAUGAAAUUAAUUUUUAAUUUACUCAUAUCCCCAAACUUGUACUAACCAGGGUAGGUGUUUACUUGCACAAGGACUGUACAGAAAAGGGCUUGUAAUGAGAGAAGUUUCUACCAAAACGCUAAUCUCGAUGGGCUUUUUUAUGAUUAGAGAAGAUUAAAUUGUUUAUUCAAAAAGAUAAAAUAAAAUAAAUAAUAAUUGUCACGUGGACUAUCUGUUCCAUGACAGCUUUCUUGUUUAGUGUUUUGUUGACAACAACAUGACAUAACAACUCCAACAUGACAAUGCACUUAAUUAUAUAUUACUAUAUUAAAAUACAUUACCAUGACAAAUAAAUAUUACUAAACUCGAAACAAUAUUGGAGUAAAUUUUUGCAUAACAAGUAAGUCCCAAAAUCCACUAUGUACGCAAAUGAGUUUGACUUGAAAUUUCGAAUUUGAAAGAGACUUUUUGGAGAAACAAACUUAAAACUCAGAGCACAGUUUCUUCCUCCGGAGACGCUCAAGAACCGAGAGAGCCGUGCAAUAAGCAAUCGCCUGGACAGUGACCAUCGGAUUCACCCCAAGCGCCGUCGGGAAAACGCUCGAAUCCGCCACGUACAGCCCUUCCACCUCCCACGUCUCCCCUGUCUCCUUCACCACCGACACCUCCGGAUCCACCCCCAUCCGGCAGCUCCCCAUCUGAUGCGCGGAGCCCAGCUGCGUCCGCAGUCCUCUUAUCGGCCUCCUGCUCUCCUCCUUCACGAACCUCUCCAACUCCUCGCUCCCAACUUCCUUCACAUUGAUGCUCUUCCCGCCCAAAUUAUGCGUCCCUAUUUCUUCCGCUCCCGCCGCAGCCAGAAUCCGCAGUAUCUUCUCCACCCCCUUCUGCAGAUUCCUCUCGUCCGACUCUUCCAUCUCGUAGCUAAUGUUAUCGGAGCAAUCUUUCACAGCACCCGACCCUCUGUCCCUGGCCAAUGUGAAUAUGUGCGCAGUUCGCGAGAACCUAGUCAUACGCCUUUUCAAAUCGUAUCCGGACACCCACGGCAUGAAACUGGAGAACAUUCCGGGAUGCAGAGAAGGAGUUUGUAUAAUUGCCCCAUAGAGACCAUCAUCAUCAUCUGAUUCGUCCUCACUAACCUUCGACAUCGCCGUCAUUAUCGGACCUUCGUAGCUCCUCUGUUUCCCUACUUCUUCAUCAGGGAAGUAUCCCCACGCCAUUGUCACCGGGUGGAGGUGGAGAUUCUCCCCAAUGUGACGAUUCCUUAAUCCGCUUCUCCGCAGCAAUGGUGGAGUGCUUAGAGCUCCGCAAGCCACUACGGUAACUUUCGAUUCCACCAUAAAUAUUUCCUUGGUCAUCGAUUCGAACACAACCCCAGUUGCUAUUUUCCUUCCAUUUCUUGAUUCGUGGAGGACUUUAACUGCUUCGCAUCCAGGAAGAAUCACACCAUUCCCUGAAUUAACCAAGUCCACCAACCAUGUCUCUGAAGUCCCCAUUUUGCGCCCUUCUCUACAGCCGAAGCAACACCAUCCACAUCCGUGUUUCGCGUCUGAGUUUCUCGGGAUGUCGUCAACUGGAUACCCUAAUUGCUGGCACCCUUUCCUCAAGACGGCAUUGUUGAGUCCUUCCUCCACAUCGACUUUGGUAUGAACUCCCAUCCUCCGGCAAACCACCUCCAUUGCUUCUCUAUACAUCUUGCUCUCAAACAGCUCCAGUUGGUUUUCAUGGCUCCACUCUUUGGUAACCUUGUGUGGAGUUUUGAUGGAGGCGGACCAGUUGAUAGCCGAGCCUCCUCCCACUGUCGAGCCAGCGAGGACUACGAAGCUCAUGUUGUCGGUGGCUAGGAGGCCUCCUGAGAGGUACAUUUGGUCCAUGGAAGGGCCUUCGAGUAGCGAGAGGUUGCUUCUGGCAAAGUAACUUCCUUUCUCCAGGACGAGCACUUUGAAUCCGGCGUUUGCUAGCAUUCCUGCAACCACGCCACCACCCGAGCCGGAGCCCACUACUACAGCAUCACAUUUGAUGUUGAUCGAUCCGGUAGUGGUGGCGGAGACUUUGAAUCCCGAUUUUUGUAGGGAUUCUGUGAUUGUACUCGUUGGGAGAUUUGUGUUGAUGAUCCCUCUGUGGAGUGGUCCGUGGGGAUGUUCUUUAGUGUUGGUGAUAUUGGCAGCUGGGAGAGGUUCAUUUGGGGGAUGUUGUUCUGCAGUUUUGUAUGCAGGAUCUGAUCCUGGAUAACCAAUUGCUUCCCAUGACGGAUUCUCAUUCUUCUCGUCAACCUGGCAAGUACAUGGAUUAAAAGAGGUGAAUAUUAUCAAAUUGCUUGAGAGUGUUAGUUUCAUGAUUAUGGUUGCUCAUCUCAGUCCAACAUAUUUAUUUUUUGAAAACUAUACUUGAAACAAGAGCAAUUUCCUUGAAUGUUAAAUGAGAUCUUCAUCCAACUUUCAAAAUGCAGCUAUGAUUACACAACUUGUCCCAUCUGUCAAAAGAUAUUCUGGACUGAGAAAAUAACUUUCCAAUGGGUAGUUAAACAACAUUGAAGUCUGCACUAGGCAGGAUAUAAAUAUAUAUUUAUUUUGCUCAAAAUAUGUAUUUUCUAAGCUCUAUACCUAGCCAUGCGUUGUGGUCAUAGUCUAGGAGAGACUCCCUUGAUUCCACCGCUAUCCACCGAUAAUAGAGUUCGUCCACCAUUAUAGAUGAUUAUGAGAGCAAGUAACUAUAUAGAUUGAUUUUCUUAUCCAUCUAACUAAUCAAUGUGUUAGGUAAGAUAGAUAGAGAGAUAAUAAAGGCUAAUUAUCAUGGUUAGUGAGUCCUAGCUAAUUUUAGCUAACAUGGACAGCCGUCCAGAAAGAAUUGAUAAAGACAAUCUAGCUACUGUUUCCUAUUAUAAGUAUGCAUAACAUCAUAACCCCAUGCAUAAAGUUAAUUAAGCAGUUCUGAAGUGGAUGUACCUGGGAGAAGAAGACAAGUGGAAUGAGGAGUUUGAAAGCCUUGAAGAGCAUCCUGAGGUGGAAGAAGAUGCUCUGAGACCAUGAGAGGACGAUUUGUUCCCUUUUCUCAAGAGGGAUUUCAGGGAAACUUAAGAUGAAUGGGAAACGAGAUGAAAUGCUGAGCCUGCCACAUAGGAUGAAGGUCCCGAUCCACGUGGACAGCAGCCACAGUGAUAGUCUUACUAGCCAUACCUUUGGGUGCUUAAGUCUCCCACUGAUCAACCUUCCUAUCUGCUCACAAAAUAUGAACCACGCAUUGCAUCCCCCAGUUUCAAUUGUCAGAAACCCACAUUUCAAUUUACUUCGGAAGUAACUACUCAGGAAAUAUGUUGGAUGGGGAAAGUAGUGUAUGAAUCCGAAAGAUAGCGAUGGAAAAAGGUAAACGAGGAAGCAAUCAUCGUCGAUGGAUCCAAAGUGGUUCAAUGUACUGUGUCGAAUUAUAUAAGAGUUUAAAUACACUAUACUUUAUAUAAAAAAUAUAUUAAUCAAUUUAAAAAAUAAAAAAAUAAAGAAAAUUACAUAAUAUUAAACUUUAAAAUCUAAAAAUAAAUUAGCUCGGACCCAGAAAAAUAACAGUAGACAACCUCAGUUACUAUUGAGUUUCAAGUUUGGACGUAUUGCUGGUUUGGAUUACCUAACCUUAAGCUACCCAUACACACGAUCAUGUGGGUUGGUUGCCCAUUUGUGUGAUAUUACGAAAACCAUAUUACGGGGUUGUAGGGGAACAUGGCUCUAUUCAGGAUUUUAGUUUACUAAAAAUCAAUGUAUCCGUACUUUCAAUCAUCCCAAAAAUCGAUAAUAUUGAAUAGAGGUUUAUAAUUUAGACGUUAAGCUCUACCCGAUCAAAAAAAACAGUAACUAGCAAAUGUUCAAACAAAAACAACCCACCGAAAUUAAAAAAAAGUAGGAAAAUGCUGAUGGAGCCCGAAUUGGAAACACCCAAAACAUCAAAUCGCCCGAAUGGACCUACUUUUCGAACGACUUCUUGCCGGUGAAUCACUCCUUAUGACGGGAUCCGGUAGCUGAGCCCUAACUUUUAUUAAAUAAUAAAAAAAAAUUGUUUUGGUUACCUCUCUCUUUCCUUGUAUUCAAUUUACUACUUAUAGAAAAAUAUAAAAGUUUAAUUGGAUAUUAUAAGAUGACGUUUACUAAAUAUGGCAAGCUAGAAUGGUUAUAAUAACGAGUGAUUUUCUCCUAAAACGACCAGAAAUAAACAUUGGUAUCAUAUUCAUAUGUACAGUAUCAACUGUGAUUUCGUUUUAGAACAUCCAAAACCUUAGCAGAUACAGACAUAUCAAAUAACAAACAAACAAACAAACUGACAGACGUACGAUUUAGGUGGGGAAUUUAAACCAGAAAAUCUGCAGAGAAUCACUCAAGACCACGAAAGAAGCGUGAAUCAGAUGACUGCUAACUAACUAACGUAUCGCGUCAUCAACGUGCAUGGAAAAUGGCUUACAUCAAAUUCAAAAUUGAACAAUACAUAACAACAAACAAAUUACCCUUUGAGGAGUUCCGGCCAUGGACGCCGACGUCUGGUAGAACUCGGCAACGACGGCCGAUUGGUGGUGGUGGUUGUUGAUGGACGGAAAGAAGGUGUCGCAGAUAGAAAUGAGCGACUUCAUCUCCCUCUCCGUUAUAUCAUUACCAGUCAUCAUUAAACGGCCGUCGCCGGCGUUAGGCGGCCUUCCAAAGUCAAUUACUACUGUAGUACCCCCCUCCUAAACAUCCGAUCCCUCCCGUCGCUGCAUCAUCACCAUCGUACACACAAACAAACUAUAGUUAACUACCCGAUUUUCAGACUUGUUUGUUAUAUAAUUCGUGAAGAAGAGGAUCUCUGUUAUAUUUAUAUAUAUACAGAGGAAAUUGGAGUGAGAGUGAUGAGACGAAGAACAGAGGAGGGGGGGGGGGGGGGCACACGGGGGGGGGAACAAAAAAAAAAAAAAACACACUCGGGGAGAGAGAGUGCAUGCAAAACUUAACCCAAUUGAAUCCUCCUGAUGAUCCUGCCCACUUGAUCAUUGACUUCGUUUUUCCUUAUAAAUUAUUACUUGUAGAAAUGAAAGGAACAGGGGGAGGGUAAUGAAGCCUGUUACCUGCUCUGUUCUGCAAUAUUUUGCAAUUACUUUAAACUGUGGAUUUGAUGCUUCUUGCGUCAGAUUUUUAUACAGUUUUUUUUCAUGUCCAAGUACACCAUUAUAUUUAUUUAUAUAGAAGAAGAAGAGGGUUCUUAAGGAAAGGGAAAAGACCUUCUUUUUCGAUGCCUCCAAAGAAUAUCUCUACUUGUUAAUUCUCUGACUCUGUUCAUCUCCUGGAAAUCAACUUGCCCUGCCCAUUGGAUUUACCUAACCAAUGUGUCUCCACACUAAAACAAAACAUUUUACUGCUAUUAUUACACUAUUAGGUUUUUUUAAUUUUUUUUAGAGACAUCUUAAUCCGUAUAAAAUAAAAAAAAUAAAUAAACAUUAAAAGGUGGUUAUUUUGUUGGGUGUACUACAUUCGAAUUCAUGACCUCCAAUAGAUAAUUUUUUUGUCUUAGUUGAAUAUAGACGGAGCGAACAUUACCUUACAAGAGGAAAAUGAAAUAAAUAUAGCAUAAGUGUCUAUACGUAGGUUAUGGUUGGAUUCGACUCAAUUAUGUUUCCGAUAAGAAGAGAUAAAAUAUCGUGAAUCAACAGCUAACGUAACUAAUAUUUGAUAGGUUUCCUCUGUGAUUGUGACUGAUAUCAAACCCGAAACUUCUGAAUUACUGAUGCAUUAUACUACCAACUGAAAUAUGUACCGAAAUAGAUGCCUUUAUUGUUCGCCGCCCCCUAUUGGAUUAUGAUGUUCAGUAUUAAAUAACAGAAUCACUUCCAAACUACUUAUAUGUUUAUUCGUCUUCCAAUCGUACAACCUUCCAUGUGUCUAACAAGUAACGAUUGCAUAUAGUUGUACUCCCCAUUAACUGUGUCUAUAAACUAUUUUUAAAAAUAUAGUUAUACUCCCCAAAUAUGUUGGUUUAAAAAAAUAUAUUUGAAUAUACUAUUUUUUGUCCACUAUGAUUGGAAGAUGGUGGUUCUCCUACUAGAACUGUCUGCUCGUCCGGCCGGUGAGAUCAUAAAAACAUUACAAAAAUUAUAAUCAAAGAUUGUCUUAUUUCAGUUAAUCUUAAUCCUUAGAUUAUGUGGAAAAGUUAAGGAUUAUUAUUUUGUUUGAUCGGGUAAAAUAAAAUUUGGAUUCUUGACCUAUAAUCAGAUUGCUGUUUAUAUGGAGGUUUUAACAUGACAAAGUCAAAAUGAGAAAAUCAACACAAUGACGUCAAACAAGAUGGUGUGAAACAUGAAGACAAGGUUGUUGUGCUGCGUUAGGAGUUGACAUGACAUAGAAGCUCUUUUGUUGUCGUAAGGUCAACAUGGUGGGGAAGCUAAAGCCAUUGGUAAGGUUGACAUGGCGACAGUUCGUAAGGGUUGGCAUAAAGGUGACUAUAAGAUUGACAUAUGGUGACCGUCAGUGGCGGGAGUUGACAUAGUUGGCUAACCCAUUAGUACAAUAGACAUGGCAUGGCAAAGAGGUAGAUGGGCAACAAUUGUUUUGAUGAAUGCAAGAAUCAACUUGGUAUAUGGGCGUCUUAGUUGCCAGCUUGAAAGGGACGCAGCUGGUUUCAAGUCAGUGUUAAGUGUUGGGCUAAGCUAUGGUGCAAUUGGUAAAACGAGCUUGAUGGUUGUGGGUACGUAGUCUUGGCCGAAUUGGUGAUUCGCCAAUGACACCUUUCUGGCGAUUUCGACCAUAUUUGGAUGGGUUUGUAACCUUUUCCCCUCCAACUCGGCCAAGACCAAUGUGGUAAUGUGCCUUGGUCAAAAAAUAACCCUAACCUUUUGAUCUCAAGCUUCAUGCACCUUUGGUCAGUGGCCUAUCAUAUAUUCUUUGCUUGGCGGGCCUCUAAAGAGUACUGUGAACGGAGCAAUUUUUGAAGAGCAGAGGAUGCGAGAAAGCAAGGAUAAUUGUUCAAGAUCCAUGGCGACCUUGAGUUUCGUUAUGUGAAAAGGACUAGAAAUGAAACUGUCAAUGUACUCGCUAGCGCUAGAUGCCUUUGGAUGUACUUGUUACCCAGAUGAAGGGUGUUCUUGCAUUACAAUUCAUGACAAGCCGCUGAUAAUACAAGUGUACUGUUCCGGCUCCCGAGUUUGCAAGAUUGGGACUCUGAGUCAACCCGGCAUCCGUAGACACUUGGCAGUGGUACUAGUUGACUAGUUGUGUGGUUCCCAUACACGUCCGGCGCUGAUAUUUUGUAGCUCUUCAGCUGGCAGAUAAACAGGUGGCUGCUUGACUCUGCAGCUCCACCCUGCUGCAUCAUUCCAAAAUUCAGUGCUAUCAUUCACACCACUUCACCAUCUCCAUCGAUGCGAAAACUGUCAAAAUUCGACCCACCAUGACCCAAUCCCUACCUUUGCUCCAUACACCCAACUCAUUCCCUGUCGCCACAAUCCCCUCCGCUCUAACCUGGACCGUCCCUAAUGCCUCCGGCUUUAGCUGCCAUCGCCGACGUUACAAUCACCGGCUGCCGCUCGAAAUCGCCAGAUGUGCUAACGCUGACGUUCCUCUUGUUGCAGAACCCACAUCGUCUUCUUCACCGUCCACCAAACCUCAUGCGAUCGGAUCGAAGAGGACGAAACUGGAGUCCCUGGAGGAAGAUAUAGAGCGGGUAAAAAUAUGUCUGUGUGUCUAUACUCACGUCUCUUGUGUUCUCAUUUUCUCUUACCUUUCACCUUCAUUUUCUUAAUUCCGCAGAUUGUUUAUCGAUGCCGGUUUCUGGCGAUCCUUGCUGUUUUCGGUUCCUUGGUUGGAUCGUUGUUAUGCUUUAUCAAGGUAAAUAUCAAUGCUCACAUUAUAUUAUGAAUGGCUAUCGCAACUCGGCUAUUUCAGAUUAAUGAAUUCUACUUCAGUCAAGACCUGCUUGUUCAUUUGAUUCCUUUUCAGUUCGGCAGAAUACUAGUUUAAAGUUUAGUUUGUAAGAUUGCUCUUUCUUUUUGCAGUUGGUGAGAUAGAUUAGUCCAUUAAGCUCUGCAAAAUUAGAGAUAGUACCUAACCGAUACAACGUUUUGCUUGAACAUACAGGGUUGCGCAUAUGUUGCAUCUUCGUUUAUGCAGUAUUUCGCCACUCGUGGAAAGGUGAUCAUAUUACUGGUAGAAGCCAUUGGUAAGUUCAUGUCAAUAAUUCUAGUUCUAGUCAUGUACAACUGAAUGAAGUGUGUAACUAGAUAAGAAACCAACUAUUUGUCCAUGCAAAACUUUGUGUGUAUAUGCAGUCCGUCUGAUUGUUAUGUUUUCCUGGGGGUGUGGGAGGGUUGAUUUCUGUUCGAUUUCUUGCUUAGAGCUAUGCCAGGGUUCGAAUAAGCACUUCCUCUGUUGGUUGCAACUCUUUGAUUUCGAUGUUGGGGAAUUUCGGCCUCCAUUUUAAGGAACGGUGUAUUUCCUAAAGCUGUAGUCUAGUGUUCUAAGGUUGACGACUGAAGAUGUAGUCAAACAUUGUGCAGUUGAAUUUGAACGAGGUAGUGAAUGGGGGGGACACUGUACCUGUCUGAAAAGAUGAGACCUUUUUCUUUUGGAAAGAAGUUUGCUGAUAUCUUGGUCUAUUACUUUCUCUCGGUUGAUUUAAUUCAGUUACUGGUCUGUUAAUGUGUCGGCAUGUGGCCCCUCCUAAGCAUGCAUCUUGAAGGAAACUAGCUAGAACACAAUUGGCUAUUUUGCUGAAUAUGAGAUCCUCGAAUGUGAAUGCAUUCACACUGUAAGAACAAUUUCUAAGCAAUUGUUGUGGUUGUUUUUAUUUAGGGAUGUCAUAGGUUUUGGUUCUUGGAAGGAGGAUAAAAUGAUAAUAAUGAUUCCUUAUUGAACCAUAACAGAGUCUGUAUAUGCUGAGGAGAUUGCUUCUUUCAUCGAACCUUUUUUACUUGUUUCUUUCUAUCAAUUCCAUACUGAUUGCUUUCUCUAACUGGUGUUUUGCUCUUCUGAAUACUAAAAGAACAUGAAAGAAAUGAUGAAUAAGACAAAUCCAUCUCUACUACGUUUAGCUGGUCCUGGUUUGUUUAUAUACCCUGUACAUCAGGAAAAGAAUUUAGUUUGUUAGCAGAUAUUGUUGCUGGAUUUGUACUCUUAUGUGUAUCUUCAGUUUCUCCUUGUUUACAUAAUCUUUCUCAACCUUCCUUAAGCUGCGUUCUUUUGUUCUGCUUUAGUUGGUGUCAUUUCCUUGCAUUAAGAGCUCUGCAUUCUCUGAAUUUAGAAAGAUAACGCCUUCUUAGUUGUUCAUUCUGUUUUAAGUUAUCGAGCACUGAUAUUUAUGUUUGUAUUGUCCCUAUGUAUAUUUCAAGGUGACGAAUAAGAAAACAAGAAUGUUACAAUGUUCACUCGCAUCACGAUAGGAAUCGGAUGUUGGUCAUCUUUCUUUGAUCCUACGAGCUGUGUACUCACAGUCAAGUCUUUGUUGUUUUUUCAUGUGGUGGUGGUCAGAUGUGUAUCUCUUGGGAACAGUGAUGCUAGUUUUCGGAAUGGGACUCUACGAGCUCUUUAUUAGCAAUCUCAGCCCGUCAAAGAUGUCGCCAGGGGAAACAAUGGCAGAUCGAUCAAAUUUAUUCGGCAUGUUCACUUUGAAGGUAAGUAAUCUGAGAGGCCGGAUGUUACGAGAACCGCGACAUAUAUGACAAUCGGGAAAUGCUGCUGAACGUUUUGUUACUUGUCGUCUUUUUUCUUCCUAUAGGAGCGACCUAAAUGGUUAGAAGUGAAGACUGUGAAUGAGUUGAAGACGAAGCUGGGACACGUGAUCGUGAUGCUCCUUCUGAUUGGAUUUUUCGAGAAAAGCAAGACAGCUGCUAUACAAUCCCCGCUUGACCUGCUUUGCUUUGCGACCUCUGUGCUUCUGUGUUCAGGUUGCCUCUACUUGUUAUCUAAGCUAAGCGACCCAAAAUGAGGAUUGCAUCCUUACCAAAUGGAACUAAAAUAGAGCAUGCGGGACCAAGUCAUGUCUGUCUGUAUAUAUUGUAUCUGUGUACAUGAAUUCCAGAUGUAAUGGUAUCACUUUUCUCUGCUAACAAGCCUCUCGGCUAUUACCUGAGUUUUGACGAAAUAUUUCUUCCCAUGUGAUAACCGUUGAUGCUUCUAGGUUUCUGGAUAAAAUUCAUUUUCCAGAAAUAAUUUAAGGUCAACUCGGAUUUUGGGCAGAAUUGGUUGGGUUUGGAGGUCAACUCCGGACACCUAACCUAUUUUGUCAGAUACGUUUUCCGUUCCCAUAAAACGGCAACCCUAAUUCUGUCGGUUUAAGGGGCUUCCAGCCUGUGUAUUCCGUUUGGAGAGGUCCAGAUGUUUUAGUCCGACAUAUUUUCCCUUCAAUUGAAAUUAUUUCAGCGAAAAAUGAAGCCUAACUUUUAUUUGUAACUAAAUGAGGUUUGGAAAUUUUGACAUAAACGAAAGUCGCGUGAAAUAAUAUUUUUCCUAGUAAAUAUUCUCAAUUUCAAUCAUAAAAAUAUAUACAUCGGAAGAGUGUUGAGGGUAUGGUUUUACCAUCUCCCAACAUGAUUUAUAAUGUAGUGCGAGAAUCUAGCUGUUCUCAGACUCAAUGGUACUCUUUCUUUCAAAUUAACUCUAAAAUUAGGGCCGAAAAUCGGGACGAGAAUGGGAUUCUGUUCUCGAAUUUGUGAAGUCCCGAAAUUCCCAAAUCCCAAAUUUUUAAAAUUUGAUUCGGGAAAUUUAAUUCGGGAUUUGGGGUUACGAAUUACGUUUUUUCCCAAAAUUUCUAUUCCUAUGCCUCUAUGUACUAAAUGAAAUAAAUUUUGGGAGUAAAUAUCUAAACGACUAAAUGAAUCACGGAAAUAAAUUUUGGGAUUUUGGGAAUCCCAAAAUCGAACUAAAAAAACCGAACUUGAAUUUUAAGUUUGGUAAUGAGAAUAGGAAUUUCCGAUUUUUUUUCAAUAAUACAAAAACGGGAAGGGGAAAUUCCGAAUCCCAUUUUCCAAUUUUCAGCCCUAUCUAAAAUUGUUAUUAUAGUUCUUAAUUCAUCCGGAUGAUCAAACAAACCCCUAAAUUAACACCUGUAUGACGUUAAAUAAAAACUUUUUUUUUUGGGUAGAAAACUUAAACUCAAAACUGGAACAAAGUAAAAAAACUACUUCCUCAUGAAUUGUCUUCCGUCCUUGUCAUCCCGCCAAGUGCCCUGCAAGCUCUCCGGUGGUGACGCAAAUAGGAGCUCCUCCUCUCCAAUCGAAUCGUGUCCCAUUUUCGCCAUAAGAUCGGCUAGUUGGUUGGCUUCCCUCAUGAUGUGACCAACUUUACAGUUCCAGCCUCCUUCCACCAAUGAUUUGAUGUCCAUGACAACAGCAGCAAAAGGAUGGGAGGAGAUCUCAUCAUCUACAAUCAAUUUGAUAGCAUUGAGGGAGUCAGACUCCAAGUUAAGUACACCUGAGUAAAACCAAAAGAGUUGGCCAAGGAAAGGCCAUUCCGAAUCGCAAGCAACUCGAGCAAAAGAACCUCCUUCAUUGUUGUUUUGUGGCAAAACCCAGCAAUCCACCCUCCACCUUCAUCACGUAGUACCCCGCCGAAAGCUGCGGAAUUCAGCUCAGACCGACAACUACCAUCAACGUUAAUCUUAAUCUAUCCCGACUGAGGUUUCUGUCAACCAAACCAGCGAGGAACAACCACCGGUUUUGGAUCACGGUGGUUAUCUAACCGAGUCAGUGUUGGGUUGACCGAUUAGUCAACCGAAUUUGAUCUGUUAAAUUUAAGAGAUAUAUACAUAUGACCAAAAUUUGAAGGGAGUUGGUUACUAACCGAUCGAGUUGGUUGCGAUUCAAUCGUUAAUCGAUACAGACAGAUGUUCUGAGUGUAGCUGUCAAUGUUUGGUUAACCCUACUGUUACUGCUCUUCCUCUGCAAUCAUAGGUUGACAUUGAGGAGCACAAAAGUAUUAGAAAGUCAGAUUUUUAGGCAUUCAAAAGAGCUGUAAUGUUUCUGCACCUGGAGCAGGCAGAUAUUCACUCUUUAGCUUUGUCCAGAAUACUCAGUUAGUGAGUAGCUAGCUUGUACAUAAGUUAGUUUAGGAUGUGUUUGUUAAUAACUAGUGGGUUCCAUUGGAUAGCUCAAAACAAGUAAAAAGAAUUCGUCUUUUUCUAAUGUUAUUGGGAACAGUUUAAAAUUCUUGAAAAUUAGCAAGUGGAUUACCCACUGAAUUCCUAAGCCAGAUAGAGCCAAGUGGUCACGUGCUGUUUACUGAGAGGUUUCAUGCAAGUUACUAAACCGAGAUCAAGUGAUUGUUUUCUCUUCCAGUCACUUCCCAGCAGAUUCAGUAAUCUCCUUAAGGAGAAUCGGUUCUUCCUAUUUAACUCUAAGGUAAGUCUAUAGAUCUGUGUUGGGUGAUCAAUCUCUUGAGAUUUUGUUCAGAAACUUCGUACUCAAUUCUUUUGCUUUUACAGAGACUGACAUUUCUACUCGUGGAAGAGAGAAAAUGGAGCAGAUGCUCGAGCACUUCGGUGAAGGAAUGUCGACACUCUCCAACGCUUCUAUACAAUCACAAACAUCGCCAACAGAACAGCCAUCUGUCGGCAGUACUUUGGAGUAUGAGGUUUUCUUAAGCUUUAGAGGCCCUGAUGUCCGCAAAAGCUUCGCGGACUGCCUCUACAGCUAUUUGGUUCGUUCCCAAAUCUGCACCUUUAGGGACGAGGAAGAGCUUCGGAAGGGGGAGACGAUUGCACCUUCCCUGGUCCAGGCCAUCGCUGAAUCAAAGAUCUACAUCCCAAUUUUUUCGACGAGCUAUGCUUCUAGCAAAUGGUGCCUCCAGGAACUAGCGAAGAUGGUCGAGUGUUGGAAGCAAGGGGAGGGGCACAUCAUAUUGCCCAUUUUCUAUUUCGUGGACCCUAGAGAUGUGCGGCAUCAAGGCGGUCCUUACAAGGAAGCAUUCGAGGGGCAUGAUGGUAAACACGACCCGAGAACUGUACAGGAAUGGAGGGACUCUCUCCAGGAAGUUGGCCAAAUCAAAGGAUGGCACGUUACUGAAUCAGACGGGUAAGAUUUCAUAAAUAUAUGUUUUUGCAACAAGUGAUAUCAACAGUUGUGACAGAUUCUCUGAGGUUCAUAGAUGGUGUCUAAGUUAACUCUAUGCUAUGGAUGUGUAUAUACUGCAUUUGACUGCAACGACGACCAACUAUGCAUCCACUAGUUAGCUCUGUAUCAAAUCAAUAUUUUUACAUUUGGUCAAACUUUUAUUACAUUUUCAGGCAGGGAGCUGUGAUAAGUCAGGUUUUUUCUCAGGUCGAGUUGCACCUGCGGAGUAUGUACACUUUAGUGACUGAGGAGUUGGUAGGAAUUGAUUUCCACGUACAAGAAGUGAUGAGAUUGUUGAAUCUAGACUCCGGAGAUGAGAAAGUGGUUGGGAUUCAUGGUAUUAGUGGGAUGGGUAAAACUACCAUAGCCAAAGCAGUCUAUGACAGUAUCUGCACAAAAUUCAAUCGUUGUUGUUUCCUAGAAAAUGUAGGCGAAAUGUUAUCGAAGAAAGAUGGAAUUGUAGCUAUACAAAGUAAAGUCAUCUGUAGCAUUUUGAGGGACAACGUUAAGGUAGAGGAUGCUAGCCAUGGAGUCAGAACCUUACGACAGAGAGUUAGCAAAUUCAAAGUCCUAAUUGUUCUUGAUGAUGUGGAUGAGAGGUUUGAAUUUUGCCAAAUACUAGGAAAAUUAGGACACUUUUCCUCAGAAAGUAGAUUCAUCAUCACAACAAGAGACAAAAGAGUUCUAGAGCUCCUUCAAGAAUAUAAGUUGUAUGAACCCGAAGAAAUGAGUUAUGAUCAUUCUCUUCAACUUUUUAGCAAGCAUGUUUUUCGUAUGCAUUACCCUCCUGAAGAUUAUGCAACUCUAUGUGAUGAAUUCGUAAAAGUUGCAGCUGGGCUUCCUUUGGCUCUUAAGGUCAUAGGGUCACUCCUGUUUCGUAGAGAGAAACAGUUUUGGGAAGAGAAGUUGAUGGAACUAAAAGAAAUCCCUGCCACUAGCAAUAAGGUGCAGCAGAGAUUGAAGAUUAGUUAUAAUGAGCUGACCUGUAAUGAGAAAAAAAUCUUUCUCGACAUAGCUUGCUUUUUUAUUGGAGAGGGUAAAGAAUUGCCCGUCCAUUUGUGGAGUGACAGUAAACUUUUCCCUGAGAGUGGGGUAAGGACUCUUCUUCUUAGGUCCUUAAUAAAAAUCAACGAGAGAAAUCAAUUCUGGAUGCAUGAUCUUCUAAGAGACCUCGGGAGAUCAAUUGUUAUCGAGGAACAUGUUAAACAUCCAGGAAAACGCAGCAGGAUCUGGUCCAAUGAAGACGCUUGGAGCAUGUUGAAAAAUGUAGAGGUAUGUAUCUAUGUUCUUCUCCAUUGAUGGGAUGUGAUGUGAUGUAAUUGCCCUAAAAUGCAAAGUUCAAUUUUCUCUGUUUGCAGGGAACUGACCAAGUCGAAAUGCUCAGGAUUGACAUGCGAAAUGGCAGUAAUUGUAAGCUCACAGCGAAAGCAUUUGAAAAGCUGACAGGGUUGAAGUAUCUUGAUAUGGCAUAUUCCACACUUACUGGGGACUUCAGUGGGAUUCUUCCAGAUAUACAUUGGCUUAGGCUGCAUCAAUGUAGAUCAGUCCCCACUGAUAUCAACUUGAACAAAGUGGUCAUUCUUGAUCUGCAAAACAGCCCUGUAGAAGAUGAUUGGAAGGGAUGGAGUCAAAUACAGGUAGGUUAUUUGAUUCCCUUCCCUUUUUCCUUUUAAGCUGUUACAAACAUUACGUUAACACUUAUUUGAACUUUGUUGUACCUGUGUGUUUUUGGUAUGCAGGUGGCACGCAAGCUGAAAGUUAUCAAUCUACAUGGCUGCCAUAAGUUAAACAAAGUUCCUGACUUGGCCAAAUGUGAGAGCCUAGAGUCGAUAGAUCUCACCUACUGUUCGGGGAUGAGAGGGGAACUCAAUAUCGGCAGUUUCGGGAAUUUAAAAGUAUUAAGGUUUCCAGGGACAAAAAUCACCGACUUAACAGGUGACAUGGGAAAGCUUCAAAAACUGCAAGAGAUAAAAACGUGUACGUCGGUCUGGAGGGACCAAGAAAUAGUUCUGCUCCCUACGGCCAUGAAAUCCCUAACUAUAUCUUCUCCUAAAGUUUCCAAUCUUCUGGAGCUUAAAGACCUGGAGGAGCUAUGCUUUAUGGAAUGUGCUACUCGUCCUGAAAUUCCUGGGGAUAUAUGGCAGCUGACAAAGUUGAAGACUUUAAAGCUUUACAAGUGCAAUUACAACAAUGGUAGUCUAAUGGUGGAUAAGGAUGGCGCCCUUCCAUCAUCUCUAACCUCCCUUAUCUUUGAUUGGUGUUCGGGUUUGAAUACACUACCAAACCUUGCAACUCUGAAUAACUUGAUGGAACUAAGACUGAUUGAUGUCGGAGUAACUGAAAUCCAUGGAUUGGGAGAGCUGAGAAUGCUGCAAGUCCUUGAAAUUUCUUAUUCCGCAGCUUUAGAACAUCUCAAUGGUCUCGAAAAUCUCGUGAACCUGAAAGAUCUGGCCCUGAAAGAUUGUGGCGGGCUAGAAGAUGUACCCAGUCUAUCGGAUUUGAUCAAGUUACAGAGUCUAGUGAUCAUCAAGUGUCCCCGUCUCUCGAACAUUCACGGCCUGGGUGAAUUGAGGAGGUCGUUGCUAAAUCUGGAAGUAAGUGGUUGUGGCAAUCUGGCAAACAUUGAAGACGUUGAAUCACUGGAAGCACUAGAAAGUUUAACAUUGGAGACGGAAAAAUUACCGCCAUUUCAUGUUCAUAGCGGUCUAUGGAUGCUGGCCAUGGCGGAAGACGAGGAUAUCCCCCAAUAUUUGAGGCGGUACCGAAGUCCAAUCAAACAAUUCCCAGAUCUCUCACCUCUCCAGAAACUGCGAGAACUGUACAUUAUGGGAUGGAGCAAAUUACCCGAGGCCACAGGAAUCGAAAGGUUAAUAUCGUUGAAAUCCUUAGAAAUGACGGCUUGCAAGACGAUGAGGAGGUUGCCAGAUUUAUCAGGCCUCAAGAACUUGGAGAGUCUCAAAGUUAGGGGAUGCAUACGGCUGGUUGAUGUCACGGGUCUCGGCCGAUUGGAAUCAUUGCAAUUUCUGAGCAUGUCUAAUUGUUGGUCCCUUGAGGAGUUGCCUGAUGUGUUUGGUUUGAACAAGUUGGAGGAGUUGGAUGUGGAGGAAUGCACCGAGCUCGUUAAGGUCAUAGGCUUGGAGAAACUGGUGAAGUUGCAACGGUUACGAAUGACUAAUUGCAAGUCGAUUAAGGAGUUGCCGGAUAUGUCAGGUCUCGUUAAUCUGGAGGUAUUGGAUCUUAAGGGAUGCACAAAAUUGAAGAGAGUGAAAGGGCUGGAGGGAUUAGAGCGUUUAUGGCUUGUUAAUAUGGAUAAAAGGUUGCUGGCCAAGUAUAUCCUGAAAAUGGCUGUGUGGGCUGCCAGGGAAUUCGCCUCAUCACUGAGGAGUAGAAGGUUAGGCGAUUGAUUAUUAGCUUGUCACUCUCUAAUGGAUGUUGAUCAAAGUUUUGACAGAUAAAUUAGUAAUGUAAUUCAGAAUUAAUACACUAGACUAUGCGGUCUAGCUAACAGUACUCCAUAAUGGUAAGUACAGCUAUUUUUAAACAGAUAACAAGUAAUCAAAAUAGAAGGGUGACCGGACCAAUUUUGACCAUAGCUUACAAAAGCAAGCUAGCCCCUAACAACACACACCGGGGCUAUGACCGGGAGUCGUCGGCCUGAAAGCAUCUUGAUUUACCGCUUUAUCACGACUGUAUCGAUACGCCAGACCAACCGUGGUGGCCACGGAAGUCGGAGUCCCCUGCAUCGUAGCUGAAGCAGGGAGAGGAGGUGGGUGUUGAUGUUGCGGAUCAUGGUGGACUUGUUCAUCAUCAUCGAGUGGCCUUGCCCUUGCUGCUGCGGCUGUAAACAGGACAAGUAUAAGAAGAAGAAUAACUAUGUUAUGGUGAUUAUGAACCGCCAUAUCAACCAGAGUGAAUGAGAUGAGAGAUUAAAGAAGUUUAUAAUUAGGAGAUAUAUCAGUCUGGUUAGCAAACUGGUUUAAUUUAUAAGAUGGAACAAGUCUGCAUGCAGGUAUAUAGUUCCAGGUGGUGGUCAAUGGACCCACACGUGGUGUUUUAUUGGCGACACAUGUAAUAGUUUAGUACAUGUGUCCACUGGGGACAAAAAAGGAAAGCCCAGAUAAUAAUUUCCUUAAACAGCAUGUUUAAAGUUUGUUGAUACUUUUCUCCAAUUCAAAACUAGUUUAAUUCUGUUUUUCUUAGUUAAAGAUGAUCAAAAUGAAUAGUGGUGGUCUGUAAUUAUAAACUAUAGUCUUUAUAAAAAAAAGAAUUAUAAACUAUAGUAUUUUUUGUCACGUACGGUUCAGGAACAGUGUUUUCAUCCAGAUACUUACAGUCUACUGGAAUAUAAGUACUAAAAUUUUAUCCUCUUUUACGAAUUUAUACGAGUUGUUGGUCGACUUUCGUAACAACAUUUUAUAAAAAAGACAUAUGAGUAUAAUAUAACUAUAUAAGGUGUUUACGGGCUCUUGGGCCGUGCACUCACUAUAUUUGGAGAAUUGAAAGUGGGCUCAGUAUUACGUACGUCGGCCCAUUUGAAGUGGUGAGAAGCUGCAGAGCGCAGAAGCCUCCCGGUUGUUCAUAUUAGGAAUAAUAUAAGUGUUGUGAUUGAUGAUUAUUGAUUGAUUUAUAUGAUAUAAUAUAGGUAAUUUUUUUUGUGUAAAUAGUAAAUCGAAAUGUUUUGAUGCCCACUCAGUUUUUUGCGUAGAAUAAUUUUGGGAUGAUUAUGAAUAUUGAUUAUUAAUUGAAUUAAUUUUGGACCAAAGUAAAGUGAAGUGCGGUGUUAAUAGAGGUUUUGCGAGAUAAUUUACAAGUUGAUGUGCCGUCGACAUAUGUCUGAUGAUGAGGCGACCUUCUUGUACUGGUUCACGAAUAAAGUGAUAAUUGAGUGUCGGAUGUUUCAUGCGAGAGUGAAAGAUCAUAGGAUUAUACCAAGAUGGUCGAGAGAGAACAUGUGCUAGCUCCAAAUGUUCUUGAAAGAAUUUGAUGGUCGAAAGAUCAUUAUCCGUGAGUAGUAGAUCGUCAACAUAGACGAGGAAAGUAGAGGAUGAUAUGUCCCUCUUGAGUGAGAAAAAAGAGUUGAAGGUAAUAAUAAGAUUUAAUUUACCACGAUCAUCUCCCUUAUUUAAAAAUACACUUCAUUUAAAUCUCUUUUUAUUUUAGAAUACACUCAUUAAAGUACAGGUACACACAUACAAUUUUAUCAAUGAUCAGUUUUAUUUUUGUCAACAUCUGUGAUCAUCCAAACUAAUUGAAAUAGAAGGGGUAACCAUGCAUCCUGAAAGAAAACAUGAGCAAACAGAAACUUGGGAGAAAAACACACGAACUUCUAUUGUUUAUUACAAGUUCAAGCAGGAGGUGGAUGACCAACAGCAGAGCCAUGACCGGGAGCCGUCGGCCUAAAAGCAUCUUGAUCCACCGCUUUAUGACGACUAUAUCGAUAUCCCAGACCAGGCGUUGCUACGAAACCCGGACGUCUCUGCAUUAUAGCUGAAGGCAGAGGAUCAGAUGGAUGUUGAUGUUGCGGAUCAUCAUGGAGGGCUUGUUCAUCAUCUAGUGGCCUUGCCCUUGUUGCGGCUGUAAGGAGGACAAGUAUCAGAAGAAUAACUAUGUUACAGUGAUUAUGAUGAUAAUCGCGAUCAACUGCCAUCGCAAGAUGAAUAUUGAUCAGCAAACUGGUUUGAUGCAACAAGCUGAAGCCAAGCCUGGUAUUUAUUUCAGAUUUUCAAGUGGUGUGGUAAGGGUUUUAAUGGACCCACACGCGCGUGAUGUUUAACCUUUGUUGAUACUUGUUUUUUCAAUGCAAAACUAAUGCAGCAGCACUCAAUUAAGG